AUGUAUCAAGUUGAGUCCAUUAGGGACGCGUCCUAGGGUUGGAGGACGACUCUAGCACCCCUUUGGUCGUCCUCCCCUCUAUUUAUUUACAUCUAGAGCCGCCAUGAACUGGGUUUUGUUUAGAUCAAGUUUAGCCUUCGCUACUUGCUUGUAGGCGCGCGUGCAGGAUCAGCCGCCCGUCUCCUUGUCUUCGGAACCCCAUUGUUGAUUCAGAUUCAGUUUGAAACCUUCAAUUCAUCUUGCGAAUUCAGUGCUUGUUUCCUCGUUCUUGCUAGUUCUUCGAUUGCUUGCAGGACGGGAGCCCUAGGGACUGGUUGUCGCGCUCCACAAGAUCAUGACGGCUGUUGGACGUGGUGUAUCGGUUGCUAAGGCGCAGUCUUGAGGGCUGUAGUCGGGCCGUGAACGUCAUCUCCAUCCACUAAUCGAGUUAUCCAGCGCCUCUCAUCGAAAGAUCAGGCCAAAAACCCUAGCGGGUUCGCAUCAGUUGGUAAUCAGAGCAAGGUUCUUCGGUGAGAGACUUCUAAUCCUUUGCUGUUUUUAAUUAAUUUCCUAUAGUCCAGAAAAGCCAAAAAAAAUAUAGUAGAUUAGUUUUUUCAUAAUCCUAUUAAACCUUUGUGCCUUGGCUAGUACCGUUUUAGUUAGGGCUUGUUGAAUUUGCGUUGCUUCGGUUUGUGUCGAGUUGCUGGUCUUAGUGUCUAGUCCUUUAGAGUUUCGAGUUCUUGUCACCAUCUAUACACAGCCGAGUAUUACCAUAUCUUCUCUCUGUCGAAUCUGUUGUGAAGUCCGAAUUGAACUGUGAUCCAAAAAGAAAGAUAACUCCAUACUUGUUCGGCCUUACUCUAGAGAGAGAGAGAGAGUGUGUGUGUGUGUAGCGAAUUGCUCUUUUGUAUUCCUUUGUUCAUAUAAUCAGUUUUUGAGGUUGCCCAAAAAAAAAGAAAAAAAAAGAAAAAAAAAGAAAAGAGAAAAGAUUCAAAAGAAAAAAAAGGGGCUGUUUUUCAUAUUGAUUUUAGGUUUCUUCCACCUUGUUUUCGGGGGUGUGCUGUGGUUUUCCUUUGUGUCCAGGCUCGCGUCUCUAGCACGGUCUAGCCUAGGACCAGCACAGUACCAUUGUCGAACGCUUAUUCAGCUCGCUUUUAUAACUAACGUGGUGCUAGUUCGUUCCUUGUUUCAGCCCACCUAUAGCUCCACAUACUCUAUAGCUUGACAGGUCUUGUGCUGCAGCAACGAUACACUUCGUCCAUUGCUGUACACUUGUUGGCAGACGACCCCUCCUGUCAAGCAAGGUAAGAAUUGGUAAGAACUUGUGUUACAGGUUGAGUGUGAGCGACUUGCUGUAGCUACAUUCUAGUAGUUGUAGGGCUUUUAUUUCUUCACUUGCCUUUUUGUUGUCUUUGUCUUUGAACCAUGCCAGGGGCAGAUGAUGGUAACGAAACACCACUUACACCUCGCACUAAGGGCAUCAUACAACAUUUUGAAAGGAAAGUGAAGCUGCACACAGAGGGACUUGAUAACGACUUGCAGGUGACAAAUGAAAAGCUAGGGCAGUUGGAGGCUACGCAGAUUGCCACAAACAACAAGCUCACAAGUUUGGAGGAAUCCGUUGCUAGUGUGGACAAAAGCCUUGCUGCUCUCCUAAGGCGAUUUGAUGCUUUCCACACCGAAGAUAAAGAGAAGCAUAAAGAAGAAAAGGAGGGAGAUCGAGAGCACGGUAGUCAUGAAGAUGACUACACUGGUGAUACUGAACAUGAUGAUCAAGACACUCGUGAUCGACGUCGCCUUCGUCACAACCGUAGAGGUAUGGGUGGCAACCGCCGACGCGAGGUACACAAUAAUGAUGAUGCUUUCAGUAAGAUUAAAUUUAAGAUACCCCCUUUUGAUGGUAAAUAUGACCCUGAUGCUUACAUCACUUGGGAGAUUGCUGUUGAUCAAAAGUUUGCAUGUCAUGAAUUUCCUGAGACUACACGUGUUAGGGCUGCUACUAGUGAGUUUACAGAUUUUGCUUCUGUUUGGUGGAUAGAAUAUGGAAAGAAAAAUCCUAAUAACUUACCUAGAACUUGGGAUGCGCUGAAAAGGGCCAUGAGAGCUAGAUUUGUUCCAUCUUACUAUGCGCGUGAUAUGAUAAAUAAGUUGCAGCAGUUAAGACAAGGUGCUAAAAGUGUAGAAGAAUAUUAUCAGGAAUUACAAACGGGUAUGUUGCGUUGUAACCUAGAGGAGGAUGAGGAACCGGCUAUGGCUAGAUUUUUGGGUGGGUUAAAUCGGGAAAUUCAGGACAUCCUUGCUUACAAAGAAUACAAUAAUGUAACCCGUUUGUUUCAUCUUGCUUGUAAAGCUGAAAGGGAAGUGCAGGGACGACGUGCUAGCGCAGGGAGUAAUAUUUCUGCAGGGAAGGCUAAUUCAUGGCAGCAACACAUGGCUUCAACUCCAUCUACACGUAUUUCUACUCCAUCAUCUAGUGACAAGGCUCGAGCUGCCCACACCAAUUCAGUUGCGAAGACGACGCAAAAGCUUGCUGCGAGUACUUCAUCCGUGGCAUCGACGGGUAGAACAAGCAACAUACAAUGUCACCUGUGUAAGGGAUAUGGGCACAUGAUGCGUGACUGUCCAAACAAGCGAGUUAUGAUUGUCAGGGAUGAUGGUGAGUACUCAUCUGCUAGUGAUUUUGAUGAGGAUACGCUUGCACUGCUUGCGACUGACCAUGCAGGUAAUGAAGAUCAAAAAGAAGAACAUAUUAAUGCAGGUGAAGCGGACCACUAUGAGAGCUUGAUCGUGCAGCGAGUGCUUAGUGCACAAAUAGAGAUGGCGGAGCAAAAUCAGCGACACAUUUUAUUCCAAACAAAGUGUGUCAUCAAAGAGCGUUCUUGUCGCAUGAUCAUUGAUGGAGGUAGCUGCAACAACUUGGCAAGCAGCGAUAUGGUGCAGAAGCUUGCCCUCAACACAAAAUACACCCGCAUCCCUACUACAUCCAAUGGCUGAACAACAGUGGUAAGGCAAAGGUAACUAGACUUGUGAGAAUUAAUUUUUCCAUCGGAUCCUACAAAGAUAUUGUUGAAUGUGAUGUUGUGCAUAUGCGAUCUUGUAACAUUCUGCUAGGUAGACCUUGNNNNNNNNNNNNNNNNNNNNNNNNNNNNNNNNNNNNNNNNNNNNNNNNNNNNNNNNNNNNNNNNNNNNNNNNNNNNNNNNNNNNNNNNNNNNNNNNNNNNACCAUUUUGGACGCACUAAUUGGUACUCCUUGGUGAAGAGGCUCAAUUGGAAGCUUGGUUUGGUCACUUUGGAGACAGUGCUAAUCCAUAUGCAAGGUAGUUGCAUGGUUUGCAUGGAACGUACCAUAUGCUCAGAAAUCAAUUUGGACGCACCAGAUGGAACUCCUAGAUGACAUGUGUCAUAUGGAAUCUCACUUUGGUCCGUUUAGAGACUGUGUUAGUUUCGGUGCAAGAUAGGUGCACGGUUUGCAUCUAAUGCACCAUAGGAUAAGAAACCAUUUUGGACACACCCGAUGGUACACCUAGGUCCAGGGGCUCAAGUGAAAGCUCGGUUUGGUCUGUUUGGAGAUAGUGCUAAUCUUGAUGCAAGAUAGAAGCACAGUUUGCAUGGAACAUAUGAUAUGCUCCGAAAUCAAUUAGGACGCACCUGAUAUAACUCCUUGAUGAUGUGUGUCAUAUGGAAUGCUGCUUCGGUUCGUUUAGAGACAGUGUUAGUUUUGGUAGAAGAUAUGUGCACGGUUUACGCCUAAUGCACCAUAGGCUAAGAAACCAUUUUAGACGCACCCGAUGGUACUCGUAGUUGAAGAGGCUCAAGUGGAGGCUCGAUUUGGUCUGUUCGGAUAUAGUGCUAAUCUUGAUGCAAGAUAGUUGCACAGUUUGCAUGGAACAUACCAUAGGUUAAGACACACACCCAAUGGAACUCCUAGAUGACGUGUGUCAUAUGGAAUCUCGCUUCAGUCUGUUUGGAGACAAUGUUAGUUUCGGUGCAAGAUAGGUGCAUAGUUUGUGCCUAAUGCACCAUAGUCUAAGAAACCAUUUUUGACACACCUGUUUGUACUCCUAGAUGAAGAGGCUCAAGUGGAAGCUCGGUUCGAUCUGUUUGGAGAUAGUGCUAAUCUUCAUGCAAGAUAGUUGCACAGUUUGCAUGGAACAUACCAUAUGUUGAGAAAUAAAUUUGGACGCAUCCAAUGGAACUCCUAGAUGACGUGUGUCAUGGAAUCUCGCUUCGGUUUGUUUGGAGACAAUGUUAGUUUCGGUGCAAGAUAGGUGCAUAGUUUGUGCCUAAUGCACCAUAGUCUAAGAAACCAUUUUUGAUGCACCUGUUUGUACUCCUAGAUGAAGAGGCUCAAGUGGAAGCUCGGUUCGGUCUGUUUGGAGAUAGUGCUAAUCUUGAUGCAAGAUAGGUGCACGGUUUGCAUGGAACAUACCAUAUGCUUGGAAAUCAAUUUGGAUGCACCCGAUGGAACUCCUUGAUGACGUGUGUCAUAUGGAAUCUCGCUUUGGUCUGUUUAGAAACAGUGUUAGUUUCGGUGCAAGUUAUGUGCAAGGUUUGCACCUAAUGCACCAUAGUCUAAGAAACCAUUUUGGAAGCACCUGUUGGUACUUCGGUGAAGAGGCUCAAGUGGGUGCUCUGUUUCAUCUGUUUGGAGAUAGUGCUAAUCUUGAUGCAAGAUAGGUACAUGAUUUGCAAGGAACAUACCAUAUGCUUUGAUGAGGACAUCAACACCAGCGAUACAUCCUCUCCUACAUCCUCUCCGACACAACCUAUAGCUGGUCCUACAUCCUCUCCGACACAACCUAUAGCUGGUCCUACAUCCUCUCCGACUCAACCUAUAGCUGGUCCUCUUACUCGUGCUCGUGUUCAUCAACUCAACCUUCAAGUAAGUUCAGUUUUAAACUCUUGUCAAUCAUAUUUAGACAAUGGAGACACGUGCACUUCCGUGUUGCUCAGGAAUAAUGGACAAGAUCAGCAAGGAAAGGUUCAACUGCAUUCAGAAUUUGAGGCAACACCAACUUCAAGGGCUGAUUGCAUAUGGGAAGAGUGAUAACUUAACAAAGGUGAUUGGAGAUCAGGUCCAAGCCUCCACAACAUCCUCUAUCAAGUUACCACGUCGCUUCUAAAGCAAGGAAACAAAGAGUCCAAACCCAACACGUUUUGGGAGUUGGAUUCGGACUGGAAAAUAACUCUAACUUGUAUGGAUCACCACGGCAUCAUAUGGACUCCAAGUGGGACGUUCCUGUACUUGUUGGAAAGCUCAUGAAGUCUACUUUCCAAUGGGUCCAACCACAUAUCUAUGCAGCUUAUGAGUCGGGUGCAGUCCUUGUUUUUGUGCCGACACCUUUUUCUGUUUUGGUGCUGCGUCACCCUAUUUUGGACCAAUGGCCCAUGUAUCAAGUUGAGUCCAUUAGGGAUGCGUCCUAGGGUUGGAGGACGACUCUAGCACCCCUUUGGUCGUCCUCCCCUCUAUUUAUUUACAUCUAGAGCCACCAUGAACAACUGGGUUUUGUUUAGAUCAAGUUUAGCCUUCGCUACUUGCUUGUAGGCGCGCGUGCAGGAUCAGCCGCCCGUCUCCUUGUCUUCGGAACCCCAUUGUUGAUUCAGAUUCAGUUUGAAACCUUCAAUUCAUCUUGCAAAUUCAGUGCUUGUUUCCUCGUUCUUGCUAGUUCUUCGAUUGCUUGCAGGACGGGAGCCCUAGGGGCUGGUUGUCGCGCUCCACAAGAUCGUGACGGCUGUUGGACGUGGUGUAUCGGUUGCUAAGGCGCGGUCUUGAGGGCUGUAGUUGGGCCGUGAACGUCAUCUCCAUCCACUAAUCGAGUUAUCAAGCGCCUCUCAUCGAAAGAUCAGGCCAAAAACCCUAGCGGGUUCGCAUCAGUUGGUAAUCAGAGCAAGGUUCUUCGGUGAGAGACUUCUAAUCCUUUGCUGUUUUUAAUUAAUUUCCUAUAGUCCAGAAAAGCCAAAAAAAUAUAGUAGAUUAGUUUUUCCAUAAUCCUAUUAAACCUUUGUGCCUUGGCUAGUACCGUUUUAGUUAGGGCUUGUUGAAUUUGCGUUACUUCGGUUUGUGUCGAGUUGCUGGUCUUAGUGUCUAGUCCUUUAGAGUUUCGAGCUCUUGUCACCAUCUAUACACAGCCGAGUAUUACCAUAUCUUCUCUCUGUCGAAUCUAUUGUGAAGUCCGAAUUGAACUGGGAUCCAAAAAGAAAGAUAACUCCAUACUUGUUCGGCCUUACUCUAGAGAGAGAGAGUNNNNNNNNNNNNNNNNNNNNNNNNNNNNNNNNNNNNNNNNNNNNNNNNNNNNNNNNNNNNNNNNNNNNNNNNNNNNNNNNNNNNNNNNNNNNNNNNNNNNCUGUUUGCAUGGACGUACCAUAUGCUCGGAAAUCAAUUUGGACGCAACCGAUGGAACUCCUAGAUGACAUGUGUGAUAUGGAAUCUCGCUUUGGUCAAUUUGGAGAGAGUGUUAGUUUCGGUGCAAGAUAGGUGCACAGUUUGCCCCUAAUGCACCGAAGGCUAAGGAACCAUUUGGACACACCUGAUGGACAUGCAGGUAAAGGCGCUCAAAUGGAAAUUAGGUUUGGUCUAUUUUGAUAAGUGCUAAUCUUGAUGCAAGAUAGGUGCACAGGUUGCGUGGAACGUACCAUAUGCUCGGGAAUCCAUUUGGAUGCACCCGAUGGAACUAGAUGACGUGUGUCAUAUGGAAUUUAACUUCCCUCCAUUUGGAGAUAGUGUUAAUUUUGGUGCAAGAUAGGUGCACGGUUUGCAUGGAACGUACCAUAUACUCAGAAAUCAAUUUGGAUGCACUCGAUGGAACUCCUAGAUGACGUGUGUCAUAUAGAAUCUCACUUUGGUCUGUUUGGGGACAUUGUUAGUUUUGGUGCAAGAUAGGUGCACGGUUUGAACCUAAUGCACCAUAGGCUAAGAAACCAUUUUGGAUGCACCUCAUGGUACUCCUAGGUAAAUGGGCUCAAAUGGAAGCUCAUUUUGGUCUGUUUGGAGAUAGUGCUAAUCUUGUUGCAAGAUAGGGGCACGGUUUGCAUGGAACGUACCAUAUGCUCGAAAAUCAAUUUGGACGCACCCGAUAGAACUCCUAGAUAAUGUGUGUCAUAUGGAAUCUUGCUUCAGUCUAUUUGGAGAUAGCGUUAGUUUCGAUGCAAGAUAGGUGCACGGUUUGUGCCUAAUGCACCAUAGACUUAGAAACCAUUGUGGAAGCACCUGAUGUUACUUCUAGGUGAAGAGGCUCAAGUGGAAGCUCAGUUUGGUCUAUUUGGAGAUAGUGCUAAUCUUGAUGUAAGAUAGGUGCACAGUUAGGAUUGAACGUACCAUAUGCUUAGAAAUCAAUUUGGACGCAACCGAUAGAACUCCUAGAUGACGUGUGUCAUAUGCAAUCUCACUUUAGUCUGAUUGGAGACAAUGUUAGUUUUAGUGGAUGAUAGGUGCAUGGUUUGCGCCUAAUGCAUCAUAAGCUAAGAAACCAUUUUGGAUGCACUCAAUGUUUCUCCUAGGUAAAGGGGCUUAAGUGGAAGCUCGGUGGGUUUGUUUGGAGAUAGUGCUAAUCUUGAUGCAAGAUAGGUGCACGGUUUGCAUGGAACGUACCAUAUACUCGGAAAUCAAUUUGGAUGCACCCGAUGGAACUACUAGAUGACGUGUGUUAUAUGGAAUCUCACUUCAGUCUGUUUGGAGGCAGUGUUAGUUUCGGUGCAAGAUAGGUGCACCGUUUGGACCUAAUGCACCAUUGGCUAAGAAACCAUUUUGGAUGAUCCCAAUGAUACUCCUAGGUAAAUGGGCUCAAAUGGAAGCUCGGUUUGGUCUGUUUGGAGAUAGUGAUAAUCUUGAUGCAAGAUAGGGUCAUGGUUUGCAUCGAACAUACCAUAUGAUCAAAAAUCAAUUUGGACGCACCCGAUAGAACUCCUAGAUGGCGUGUGUCAUAUGGAAUCUUGCUUCAGUCUAUUUAGAGAUAGCGUUAGUUUCGAUGCAAGAUAGGUGCACGGUUUGUACCUAGUGCAGCAUAGACUCAGAAACCAUUGUGGAAGCACCCGAUGUUACUCCUAGGUGAAGAGGCUCAAGUGGAAGCUCGUUUGGGUCUGUUUGGAGAUAGUGCUGAUCUUGAUGCAAGAUAGGCGCACGGUUUGCAUGGAAUGUACCAUAUGGUCAGAAAUCAAUUUGGACACACCCAAUGGAACUCCUAGAUGACGUGUGUCAUCUGAAAUCUCGCUUCGGUAUUUUUGGAGAAAGUGUUAGUUUCGGUGCAAAAUAGGUGCACGGUUUGCGCCUAAUGCACCGAAGGCUAACAAACCAUUUUGGACACACCUGAUGGACACGUAGGUAAAGGCGCUCAAUUGAAAAUAGGUUUGGUCUAUUUUGAGAUGUGCUAAUCUUGCUGCAAGAUAGGUGCACAGGUUGUGUGGAACAUACCAUAUGCUCAGAAAUCAAUUUGGAUGCAUCCGAUAAAACUAGAUGACAUGUGUCAUAUGGAAUUUUACUUCCCUCUUUUUGGAGAUAGUGUUCAUUCUGGUGCAAGAAAGGUGCACGGUUUGCGCUUAAUGCACCAUAGGCUAAGAAACUAUUUCGGACACACCUGUUGGUACUUCUAGGUGAAGGGGCUUGAAUGGAAGAUUGGUUUGGUUUGUUUGAUGAUAGUGCUAAUCUUGACGCUAGAUAGGAGCAUGGUUUGUGUGGAACAUACCAUAUGCUCAGAUAUUAAUUGGGACACCCAAUACUAGAUGAUGUGUGUCAUGUGCAAUCUCGCUUCAGUCUGUUUGGAGACAAUAUUUGUUUCGGUGCAAGAUAGAUGCACGGUUUGCGCCUAAGGCACCAUUGUCUGACAAAACCAUUUUGAACACACCUAAUGGUACUCCUAGGUGAAGAGGCUUAAGUGGAAGCUCAGUUUGGUUUGUUUGGAGAUAGUGCUAAUCUUGAUGCAAGAUAGGUGCACGGUUUGCAUGGACCGUACCAUAUUCUCAGAAAUUAAUUUGGACGCAACCGAUGAAACUCCAAGAUAACGUGUGUCAUAUGCAAUCUCACUUGAGUGUGUUUGGAGACAGUGUUAGUUUUGGUGCAUGAUAGGUGCACGGUAUGCGCCUAAUGCACCAUAGGCUAAGAAACCAUUUUGGAUGCACUUGAUGUUACUCCUAGGGAAAGGGUCUUAAAUGGAAGCUCGGUUUGGUUUGUUUGGAGAUAGUGCUAAUCUUGAUUUAAGAUAGGUGCACGGUUUUGCAUGGAAUGUACCAUAUGCUUGGAAGUCAAUUUGGAUGCACCUGAUGGAACUUCUAGAUGACGUGUGUCAUAUGGAAUCUCACUUCGGUCUGUUUGGAGACAGUGUUAGUUUUGGUGCAAGAUAUGUGCACGGUUUGCACCUAAUUCAUCAUAGGCUAAGAAACCAGUUUGGAUGCACCGGAUGGUACUCCAAGGUAAAUGGGCUCAAGUGGAAGGUCAAUUUGGUCUGUUUGGAGAUAGUGCUAAUCUUGACGCAAGAUAGGGGCACAGUUUGCAUGGAACGUACCAUAUGCUUAAAAAUCAAUUUGGACGCACCCGACAGAACUCCUAGAUGAUGUGUGUCUUCUGGAAUCUUGCUUUGGUCUAUUUGGAGACACCGUUAUUUUCGGUGUAAGAUAGGUGCACGGUUUGCACCUAAUGCACCAUAACUCAGAAACCAUUGUGGAAGCACCCGCUGUUACUCCUAGGUGAAGAGGCUCAAGUGGAAGCUUGUUUGGGUCUGUUUAGAGAUAGUUCUGAUCUUGAUGCAAGAUAGGUGCACAGUUUGCAUGGAACGUACCAUAUACUUAGAAAUCAAUUUGGAUGCACCCGAUGAAACUCCUAGAUGACAUGUGUCAUAUGGAAUCUCGCUUCGGUCUGUCUGGAGAAAGUGUUAGUUUCGGUGCAAGAUAGGUGCACGGUUUGUGCCUAAUGCAACAGAGGCUAAGAAACGAUUUUGGACACACCUGAUGGACACGUAGGUAAAGGCGCUUAUAUGGAAAGUAGGUUUGGUCUGUUUUGAGAAGUGCUAAUCUUGAUGCAAGAUAGGUGCACAGGUUCCGUGGAACGUACCAUAUGCUCGGAAAUCAAUUUGGAUGCAUCCGAUGGAACUAGAUGAUGUGUGUCAUAUACAAUUUUACUUCCCUCUAUUUGGAGAUAGUGUUAGUUUUGGUGCAAGAUAGGUGCACGGUUUGCGCCUAAUGCACCAUAGGCUAAGAAACCAUUUCGGACACACCUGUUGGUACUUGUAGGUGAAGGGGCUCAAAUGGAAGAUUGGUUUGGUCUGUUUGGUGAUAGUGCUAAUCUUGUUGCUAGAUAGGAGCAUGGUUUGUGUGGAACAUACCAUAUGCUCAUAUAUUAAUAUGGACACCCAAUACUAGAUGAUGUGUGUCAUGUGCAAUCUCGCUUUAGUCUGUUUGGAGACAGUGUUUGUCUCGGUGCAAGAUAGAUGCACGGGUUGUGCCUAAGGCACCAUAGUCUAACAAAACCAUUUUGGACACACCUAAUGGUACUCCUAGGUGAAGAGGCUCAAGUGGAAGCUCGGUUUCGUUUGUUUGGAGAUAGUGCUAAUCUUGAUGCAAGAUAGGUGCACGGGUUUGCAUGGACCAUACCGUAUGCUCAGAAAUUAAUUUGGACGCAACCGAUGAAACUCCUAGAUAACGUGUGUCAUAUGCAAUCUCACUUCAGUCUGUUUGGAGACAGUAUUAGUUUUGGUGCAUGAUAGGUGCACGGUAUGCACCUAAUGCACCAUAGGCUAAGAAACCAUUUUGGAUGCACUCGAUGUUACUCCUAGGUAAAGGGGCUUAAAUGGAUGCUCGGUUUGUUUGUUUGGAGAUAGUGCUAAUCUUGAUGAAAGAUAGGUGCACAGUUUUGCAUGGAAUGUACCAUAUGGUUGGAAGUCAAUUUGGAUGCACCUGAUGGAACUCCUAGAUGAUUUGUGUCAUAUGGAAUCUCACUUCGGUCUGUUUGGAGACAGUGUUAGUUUUGGUGCAAGAUAGGUGCACGGUUUGCACCUAGUGCAUCUUAGGCUAAGAAAUCAGUUUGGAUGCACCCGAUGGUACUCCUAGAUAAAUGGGCUCAAGUGGAAGCUCAAUUUUGUCUGUUUGGAGAUAGUGCUAAUCUUGAUGCAAGAUAGGGGCAUGGUUUGCAUGGAACGUACCAUAUGCUCAUAAAUCAAUUUGGAUGCAACCGAUAGAACUCCUAGAUGACAUGUGUCAUAUGCAAUCUUGCUUCAGUCUGUUUGGAGACAGUGUUUGUUUCGGUGCAUGAUAGGUGCAUGGUUUGCACCUAAUGCACCAUAUGCUAAUAAACCAUUUUGGAUGCACUCAAUGUUACUCCUAGGCAAAGGGGCUUAAGUGGAAGCUCAGUUUGGUUUGUUUGGAGAUAGUGCUAAUCUUGAUGCAAGAUAGGUGCACGGUUUGCAUGGAACGUACCAUAUGCUCAGAAAUCAAUUUGGACGCAACCGAUAGAACUUCUAGAUGACAUGUGUCAUAUGCAAUCUCACUUUACUCUGUUUGGAGAUAGUAUUUGUUUCGGUGCAUGAUAGGUGCACUGUUUGCGCCUAAUGCACCAUACGCUAAGAAACCAUUUUGGAUGCACUCAAUGUUACUCCAAGAUAAAUGGGCUUAAGUGGAAGCUCAGUUUGGUUUGUUUGGAGAUAGUGCUAAUCUUGAUGCAAGAUAGGUGCACGGUUUGCAUGGAACAUACCAUAUACUCGGAAAUCAAUUUGGAUGCACGCGAUGGAACUCCUAGAUGACAUGUGUCAUAUGGAAUCUCGCUUCAGUCUAUCUGGGGAAAGUGUUAGUUUAGAUGCAAGAUAGGUGCACUAUUUGCGCCUAAUGCAACGAAGGCUAAGAAACCAUUUUGGACACACCUAGUGGACACAUAGGAAAGGCGGUCAAAAGGAAAAUAGGUUUGGUCUGUUUUGAGAAGUGCUAAUCUUGAUGCAAGAUAGGUGCACAGGUUGCAUGGAACGUACCAUAUGCUCAGAAAUCAAUGAAGUGUAUCAUAUGGAAUUUUACUUCCCUCUAUUUGGAGAUAGUGUUAGUUUUGGUGCAAGAUAGGUGCACGGUUUGCGCCUAAUGCACCAUAGGCUAAGAAACCAUUUCGGACACACCUGUUGGUAAUUCUAGGUGAAGGGGCUCAAAUGGAAGAUUGGUUUGGUCUGUUUGGAGAUAGUGUUAAUGUUGUUGCUAGAGAGGAUCAUGGUUUGUGUGGAACAAAACUUAUGCUCAGAUUUUAAUGUGGACACCCAAUACUGGAUGAUGUGUGUCAUGUCCAAUCUCACUUCAGUCCGUUUGGAGACAGUGUUUAUUUUGGUGCAAGAUAGAUGCACGGUUUACGCCUAAGGCACCAUAGUCUAACAAAACCAUUUUGGACACACCUAAUGGUACUCCUAAGUGAAGAGGUUCAAGUGGAAGCUUGGUUUGGUUUGUUUGGAGAUACUGCUAAUCUUGAUGCAAGACAAGUGCACGGUUUGCAUCGACNNNNNNNNNNNNNNNNNNNNNNNNNNNNNNNNNNNNNNNNNNNNNNNNNNNNNNNNNNNNNNNNNNNNNNNNNNNNNNNNNNNNNNNNNNNNNNNNNNNNGGUAUGCACUAAUUGCACCAUAGGCUAAGAAACCAUUUUGGAUGCACUCGAUGUUACUCCUAGGUAAAGGGGCUUAAAUGGAUGCUCGGUUUGUUUGUUUGGAGAUAGUGCUAAUCUUGAUGAAAGAUAGGUGCACAGUUUUGCAUGGAAUGUACCAUAUGGUUGGAAGUCAAUUUGGAUGCACCUGAUGGAACUCCUAGAUGAUUUGUGUCAUAUGGAAUCUCACUUCGGUCUGUUUGGAGACAGUGUUAGUUUUGGUGCAAGAUAGGUGCACGGUUUGCACCUAGUGCAUCUUAGGCUAAGAAAUCAGUUUGGAUGCACCCGAUGGUACUCCUAGAUAAAUGGGCUCAAGUGGAAGCUCAAUUUUGUCUGUUUGGAGAUAGUGCUAAUCUUGAUGCAAGAUAGGGGCAUGGUUUGCAUGGAACGUACCAUAUGCUCAUAAAUCAAUUUGGAUGCAACCGAUAGAACUCCUAGAUGACAUGUGUCAUAUGCAAUCUUGCUUCAGUCUGUUUGGAGACAGUGUUUGUUUCGGUGCAUGAUAGGUGCAUGGUUUGCACCUAAUGCACCAUAUGCUAAUAAACCAUUUUGGAUGCACUCAAUGUUACUCCUAGGCAAAGGGGCUUAAGUGGAAGCUCAGUUUGGUUUGUUUGGAGAUAGUGCUAAUCUUGAUGCAAGAUAGGUGCACGGUUUGCAUGGAACGUACCAUAUGCUCAGAAAUCAAUUUGGACGCAACCGAUAGAACUUCUAGAUGACAUGUGUCAUAUGCAAUCUCACUUUACUCUGUUUGGAGAUAGUAUUUGUUUCGGUGCAUGAUAGGUGCACUGUUUGCGCCUAAUGCACCAUACGCUAAGAAACCAUUUUGGAUGCACUCAAUGUUACUCCAAGAUAAAUGGGCUUAAGUGGAAGCUCAGUUUGGUUUGUUUGGAGAUAGUGCUAAUCUUGAUGCAAGAUAGGUGCACGGUUUGCAUGGAACAUACCAUAUACUCGGAAAUCAAUUUGGAUGCACCCGAUGGAACUCCUAGAUGACAUGUGUCAUAUGGAAUCUCGCUUCAGUCUGUCUGGGGAAAGUGUUAGUUUAGAUGCAAGAUAGGUGCACUAUUUGCGCCUAAUGCAACGGAGGCUAAGAAACCAUUUUGCACACACCUAGUGGACACAUAGGUAAAGGCGGUCAAAUGGAAAAUAAGUUUGGUCUGUUUUGAGAAGUGCUAAUCUUGAUGCAAGAUAGGUGCACAGGUUGCGUGGAACAUACCAUAUGCUCGGAAAUCAAUGAAGUGUGUCAUAUGGAAUUUUACUUCCCUCUAUUUGGAGAUAGUGUUAGUUUUGGUGCAAGAUAGGUGCACGGUUUGCCCCUAAUGCACCAUAGGCUAAGAAACCAUUUCAGACACACCUGUUGGUACUUCUAGGUGAAGGGGCUCAAAUGGAAGAUUGGUUUGGUCUGUUUGGAGAUAGGCUAAUCUUGUUGCUAGAUAGGAGCAUGGUUUGUGUGGAACAAAUCUUAUGCUCAGAUUUUAAUGUGGACACCCAAUACUGGAUGAUGUGUGUCAUGUCCAAUCUCACUUCAGUUCGUUUGGAGACAGUGUUUAUUUUGGUGCAAGAUAGAUGCACGGUUUACGCCUAAGGCACCAUAGUCUAACAAAACCAUUUUGGACACACCUAAUGGUACUCCUAGGUGAAGAGGUUCAAGUGGAAGCUUGGUUUGGUUUGUUUGGAGAUAGUGCUAAUCUUGAUGCAAGACAGGUGCACAGUUUGCAUGGACCGUACCAUAUGCUCAGCUAUUAAUUUGGACGCAACCGAUGAAACUCCUAGAUAACGUGUGUCAUAUGCAAACUCACUUCACUCUGUUUGGAGAUAGUGUGAGUUUUCGGUGCAUGAUAAGUGCACGGUAUGCGCCUAAUGCACCAUAGGCCAAGCAACCAUUUUGGAUGCACUCGAUGUUACUCCUAGGUAAAGGGGCUUAAAUGGAAGCUCGGUUUGGUUUGUUUGGAGAUAGUGCUAAUCUUGAUGAAAGAUAGGUGCACGGAUUUGUAUGGAAUGUACCAUAUGCUUGGAAGUCAAUUUGGAAGCAGCUGAUGGAAGUCCAAGAUGACAUGUUUCAUAUGCAAUCUCACUUCGGUCUAUAUAGAGACAGUGUUAGUUUCGGUGCAAGAUAGGUGCACGGUUUGCACCUAAUGUAUCAUAGGCUAAGAAACCAGUUUGGAUGCACCCGAUAGAAGUCCUAGAUGACGUGUGUCAUAUGGAAUCUUGCUUCGGUCUAUUUGGAGACAGUGUUAGUUUUGGUGCAAGAUAGGUGCACGGUUUGCACCUAAUGCAUCAUAGGCUAAGAAACCAGUUUGGAUGCACCCGAUGGUACUCCUAGGUAAAUGGGCUCAUGUGGAAGCUCGAUUUGGUCUGUUUAGAGAUAGUGCUAAUCUUGAUGCAAGAUAGGGGCACCGUUUUCAUGGAACAUACCAUAUGCUCGAAAAUUAAUUUGGAUGCACCCGAUAGAACUCCUUGAUGACGUGUGUCAUAUGGAAUCUUGCUUCGGUCUAUUUGGAGACAGUGUUAGUUUUGGUGCAAGAUAGGUGCACGGUUUGCACCUAAUGCAUCAUAGGCUAAGAAACCAGUUUGGAUGCACCCGAUGGUACUCCUAGGUAAAUGGGCUCAUGUGCAAUCUCGCUUUAGUCUGUUUGGAGACAGUGUUUGUCUCGGUGCAAGAUAGAUGCACGGGUUGUGCCUAAGGCACCAUAGUCUAACAAAACCAUUUUGGACACACCUAAUGGUACUCCUAGGUGAAGAGGCUCAAGUGGAAGCUCGGUUUCGUUUGUUUGGAGAUAGUGCUAAUCUUGAUGCAAGAUAGGUGCACGGUUUGCAUGGACCAUACCGUAUGCUCAGAAAUUAAGUUGGACGCAACCGAUGAAACUCCUAGAUAACGUGUGUCAUAUGCAAUCUCACUUCAGUCUGUUUGGAGACAGUAUUAGUUUUGGUGCAUGAUAGGUGCACGGUAUGCACCUAAUGCACCAUAGGCUAAGAAACCAUUUUGGAUGCACUCGAUGUUACUCCUAGGUAAAGGGGCUUAAAUGGAAGCUCGGUUUGGUUUGUUUGGAGAUAGUGCUAAUCUUGAUGAAAGAUAGGUGCACGGAUUUGUAUGGAAUGUACCAUAUGCUUGGAAGUCAAUUUGGAAGCAGCUGAUGGAAGUCCAAGAUGACAUGUUUCAUAUGCAAUCUCACUUCGGUCUAUAUAGAGACAGUGUUAGUUUCGGUGCAAGAUAGGUGCACGGUUUGCACCUAAUGUAUCAUAGGCUAAGAAACCAGUUUGGAUGCACCCGAUAGAAGUCCUAGAUGACGUGUGUCAUAUGGAAUCUUGCUUCGGUCUAUUUGGAGACAGUGUUAGUUUUGGUGCAAGAUAGGUGCACGGUUUGCACCUAAUGCAUCAUAGGCUAAGAAACCAGUUUGGAUGCACCCGAUGGUACUCCUAGGUAAAUGGGCUCAUGUGGAAGCUCGAUUUGGUCUGUUUAGAGAUAGUGCUAAUCUUGAUGCAAGAUAGGGGCACCGUUUUCAUGGAACAUACCAUAUGCUCGAAAAUUAAUUUGGAUGCACCCGAUAGAACUCCUUGAUGACGUGUGUCAUAUGGAAUCUUGCUUCGGUCUAUUUGGAGACAGCGUUAUUUUCGGUGCAAGAUAGGUGCACGGUUUGCACCUAAUGCACCAUAGACUCAGAAACCAUUGUGGAAGCACCGGAUGAUACUCCUAGGUGAAGAGGCUCAAGUGGAAGCUCGGUUUGGUUUGUUUAGAGAUAGUGCUAAUCUUGAUGCAAGAUAGGUGCACGGUUUGCAUGGAACAUAUCAUAUGCUCGGAAAUCAACUUGGACGCACCUGAUGGAACUCCUAGAUGACGUGUCAUAUGGAAUCUUGCUUCGGUCUAUUUGGAGAAAGUGUUAGUUUCGGUGCAAGAUAGGUGCACGGAUUGUGCCUAAUGCACCGAAGACUAAGAAACCAUUUUGGUCACACCUGAUGGACACAUAGGUAAAGAGGCUCAAGUGGAAAAUUGGUUUGGUCUGUUUUGAGAAGUGUUAAUCUUGAUGCAAGAUAGGUUCACAGGUUGCGUGGAACGUACCAUAUCCUCGGAAAUCAAUUUGGAUGCACCCGACGGAACUAGAUGACGUGUGUCAUAUGGAAUUUUACUUUGCUCCAUUUGGAGAUAGUGUUAGUUUUGGUGCAAGAUAGGUGCAUGGUUUGCACCUAAUGCACCAUAGGCUAAGAAAGCAUUUCAGAUACACCUGAAGGUACUACCAGGUGAAGGGGCUCAAAUGGAAGAUCGGUUUGGUCUGUUUGGAGAUAGUGCCAAUCUUGACACAAGAUAGGAGCAUGGUUUGUGUGGAACAUAGCAUAUGCUCAGAUAUUAAUUUGGACACCCAAUACUAGAUGAUGUGUGUCAUGUGCAAUCUCGCUUUGGUCCGUUUGGAGACAGUGUUAGUUUCGGUGCAAGAUAGAUGCACAAUUUGUGCCUAAUGAACCAAAGUCUAACAAAACCAUUUUGGACACACAUGAUGGUACUCCUAGGUGAAGAGGCUCAAAUGGAAGCUCAGUUUGGUCUGUUUGGAGAUAGUGCUAAUCUUGAUGCAAGAUAGGUGCAUAGUUUGCAUGGAAUGUAGCAUAUGCUCAGAAAUCAAUUUGGACGCAACCGAUAGAAAUCCUAGAUGACGUGUGUCAUAUGCAAUCUCACUUCAGUCUAUUUGGAGACAGUGUUUGUUUCGGUGCAUGAUAGGUGCACAGUUUGCGCCUAAUAGACCAUAGGCUAAGAAACCAUUUUGGAUGCACUCAAUAUUACUCCUAGGUAAAGGGGCUUAAGUGGAAGCUCAGUUUGGUUCGUUUGGAGAUAGUGCUAAUCCUGAUGCAAGAUAGGUGCACGGUUUGCACGGAACGUACUAUAUACUCGGAAAUCAAUUUGGAUGCACCCGAUGGAACUCCUAGAUGACAUGUGUCAUAUGGAAUCUCGCUUCGGUCUGUUUGGAGAAAGUGCUAGUUUCGCUGCAAGAUAGGUGCACGGUUUGCGCCUAAUGCAACGGAGGCUAAGAAACCAUUUUGGACACACCUGAUGGACACGUAGGUAAAGGCGCUCAAAUGGAAAAAUAGGUUUGGUCUUUUUUGAGAAGUGUUAAUCUUGAUGCAAGAUAGGUGCACAGGUUGCGUGGAACGUACCAUAUGUUCGGAAAUCAAUUUGGAUGCACCCAAUGGAACUAGAUGACAUGUUCCAUAUGGAAUUUUACUUCCCUCCAUUUGGAGAUAGUGUUAGUUUUGGUGCAAGAUAGGUGCACGGUUUGCGCCUAAUGCACCAUAGGCUAAGAAUCCAUUUCGAACACAACUGUUGGUACUCGUAGGUGAAGGGGCUCAAAUGGAAGAUUGGUUUGGUCUGUUUGGAGAUAGUGCUAAUCUUGACGCUAGAUUGGAGCAUGGUUUGUGUGGAAAAUACCGUAUGCUUAGAUAUUAAUUCUGACACCCAAUACUGGAUGAUGUGUGUCAUAUGCAAUCUCGCUUCGGUCCAUUUGGAGACAGUGUUUGUUUCGGUGCAAGAUAGAUGCACGGUUUAUGCCUAAGGCACCAUAGUCUAACAAAACCAUUUUGGACACACCUAAUGGUACUCCUAGGUGAAGAGGCUCAAGUGGAAGCUUGGUUUGGUUUGUUUGGAGAUAGUUCUAAUCUUGAUGCAAGAUAGGUGCACUGUUUGCAUGGACCGUACCCUAUGCUCAGAAAUCAAUUUGGACGCAACUGAUGAAACUCCUAGAUAACGUGUGUCGUAUGCAAUCUCACUUCAGUCUGUUUGGAGACAGUGUUAGUCUCGAUGCAUGAUAGGUGCACGGUAUGCGCCUAAUGCACCAUAUGCUAAGAAACCAUUUUGGAUGCACUCAAUGUUACUCCUAGGGAAAGGGGCUUAAAUGGAAGCUCGGUUUGGUUCGUUUGGAGAUAGUGCUAAUCUUGAUGAAAGAUAGGUGCACGGUUUUGCAUGGAAUGUACCAUAUGCUUGGAAGUAAAUUUAGAUGCACCUGAUGGAACUCCUAGAUGACGUGUGUCAUAUGGAAUCUCACUUCGGUCUAUUUGGAGACUGUUAGUUUUGAUGCAAGAUAGGUGCACGGUUUGCACCUAAUGCAUCUAUUGGUACCCCUUAUCAUAUAAUUAUAAACAUCAUUUUAAUAAGUAAAAUAAAUAGAUGGUAGGGCUUUUAACUAACCUUUCCACAAGUUUUGUUGUGAAUGGGAAUUUCAGGAAUGACACAUGGAAAGGUGCAAAAGACACGAGAAAGCGCAAUUCGAGAAAGCGUAUUCAGAAAAGGCACAAAUCAAGAUAAAAUGGAAAAGCCCACCAAAACACCGAACCAAAUCCAUCCGCCAAAGUGGGGGGUGCGGCCGCACCACUAGUGGCCCCCCUGGCCACACCCUUCAGGAGGAACGUGCGAGGCGGUUUCCUAAGGACGGUUCCACCUACGAUCAACGCAGAUGGAAAGUGGAAACCGCCCUUGGAGGUCGGUUUUCGACCUUUCGAUGUAGGGAUCGCCCUUUUUGCAUAUAGCCCCCUCCUCUUGGGCUAUAAAAGAGAGGGAGAGUACCCCCCAUAACACACACCAUCAUUUGGAGCCUCUCACCUCACAUUCCUCUUGUAUUCUUUAGAUUAGUUUUAGUGGUAGAGCAAGGCAAGAGCUAGCAAGUAGAACUUGUUUCUUUGGAAGAAGAAGAACACCUCGGUAUGAAUACAAUAUAGUUCUCUUUCAUGUUCAAGUUCUUAUCUUAUUUAUAUAGCAAUGCAUAUGAACUAGAGUAUAGUCUUGUUCAUGUUAUGAUCAUGAUAUAUGAACUAGCAUAUAGUUUAUGUGUUAUGUUCUUGACAUGUUCAUCAUUGUUCUUAAUCAUUCAUCAAGUUAGUAUGAAUAGAGGAAGAACUAGGGAUGAGAUGACGGUUCGUUGGGCUGUGGUGGCUGCUCCUAACUUAGCCUGUCACUCUGAACGAGUGAGGUCCAUGGGGUUUAGGAGUUGUUUCCAAUUACACGGGCGUGGUGCUCGGGUAUGCGGAGAUCAGCGGAUAUGCGGGUAUCUUUCGGGCAGAGGGGUAGGUGGCAGCGUAGUGACAGCCCUGUCCAUCCUUUGUAAUCCCCCACGAUCAGGUAUUCCGGUAGGAGUUCUGUAAAGUCUCUAUCGGCUAGGAUGUCCAACUGCGGGGAUCUCCCUGUCAUCCCAGAUUUGGUUCUGAUGCUAGACAUGAUAGUUAGAUGUUUACUAACAGUUCUUUGCAUAGCUAUAUACGACCAAUGCCUGCUCAGUUAGAUAUAUUCUUUUCUUUAUUUUAUCUUUUAUCCUUGAGGUUGGCUCAGAUGUGUGUCCACUAUCCUUGAACUAUGAUUUACCCCUGUCUAUGCUAUGUUUACCUAUGCAUUCAAUAAGUAAUCAUGUUUAUACCAAAGCUAGAUGCAUUCGUCCUGCCUUCCUACGGAAAUUAUAAAUAACGAUACCCACUCACGGGUUGAAAUGCUACAAUGAUAGUUUCGUGCGCUUGUGGAUUUAUCCUUAUUGAACUAUCGAUUGGUGUACCUAAGUACCGUUACUUAAGAUUGUAAUCCUCAUGUAUGCCCCAACAGCGCCGUGCAACAGUAUUGCAUAUCGCAAGUAAGGAUGGUUAGGAAGGCCGAUCUGGAUGUUCUAAUCAUCAGUACCAGACUGCAUUACUUAGGCCAGAGUCGUACAGAUCGAGAGUUACCUUUCUAACAUAAUGGUGGUUAGGAAUGUCAAUCUCGACAUUUCUGGUGUCGUUGCUAAGGAUAGAUUUAUAGUCUAUCUUUAGUAGUGACACUAAGAAAUGCCAACAAGCAUUUCUGGCACCGUUGCCGGCGAAGGCAAAAGGAAAUAAAAACAUCUAGCUUGGCAAUAAACAUUGAUUAGCAAAUGGUAACCAUAGUUUAGGCAGGUUAACUUCGCUUGUUUUCUUCCUCUUUUUAUUGGAAAGAAAAUAGGAUAGUGUAUGAAUGGCUUGACCUGUCGAACAACUUCAUCAACAAUCCGUUGGCACUCCUAAGGAAGAACAGGUCCCGGACCGCUUCUUCUUCUGCUACUCCACUGACAAACAAACCAUUCGCCCUUGCAUCAUCCAAUACGAUCAUCAUGGCCAAGUCACUCCGCGAUUACUCAACCCCUACUAUUGCUAACAUGCCCGUUGGGCCCGUGUCAAUAUUGGGAAUGGAAACUUCAAGCUCCGUACUGGCCUCAUCAAGAUGAUACAGGCAAGCCAGUUCCAUGGCUUGCCACAUGAGGACGCAAAUGCUCAUCUUCAACACUUCCUUGAGUUGUGCGACACCAUCAUCAUCAAAGACGUCGCAUCAACUAGCAUCAAGUUUUGCCUAUUUCCUUUCUCCCUUGUGGGGAAAGUGAAACAAUGGUUCUACAAGAGCAAGGUAGCUGUCAACACAUGGGACAAAUGUUCCACAGCGUUCCUCGUCAAGUUCUUCCCCUUGAGCAAAACCAGUGCUCUAAGGAGGGAGAUAUCCAACUUCGAGCAAACAUCACUCGAGUCCAUCCCUGAAGCAUGGGAAAGGCUACAGGACCUUGUCUGAGCCUGUCCCCACCAUGGAAUGAAAGAUUGGCUUGUGCUCCAGAACUUUUAUGAGGGCCUCACAACCAUAUCAAUGGAGCACCUUAACGCCACAACUGGAGGGGCAUUCCUCUCCCUCACCAUCAAGAAUGGCACCACACUCAUCAAAAAGAUUGUGGCAAACCAAAGUUGGGGAGAAGGAAGAGAAACACAAGACGGCAUGCAUUCCGUGAAGGAGACAGGAUUGCUUGCUGCAAAAGUAGACCUCCGAAUAAAGAGGUUGGACGACCAUGCCACCAAGCUCACAAAAGGCACCGUCCAAACCAUGGGCUCACACAUGAAGUGUGAAGUCUGUGGAGAUGUUGGCCAUUUGGGGAACAACUGUCCCAAAACUCAGGAAGAAACAUCCUACAUCAACGAUGGGUUUCGCCAACAUCAGCAACCAGGUAAUAAUGGGUGGAACAAUCAUAACCACCCACAAGGUAAUUCUUCCAACUUCAAUACAAAUUACGAUUUCAAUCAUCUUUCCUUGAGAAGCUUCGUUUUAGAGCAACCUGAGUUUAAUGCAUAUCUUGCUAAAAACUUUCCUUCAAUGAUAGAAUGUUUGAAUCUAAAAAUGCUAAGCUUGAAACUCUGUCUUCUUUUGUUGAACGUCGGCUGAGUUUCAAUAAAAUGAUAAAAACCUAGUUGCUCAAAUUGUUGUUUCAUUUCCUGUCAACAAUACGGGAAAUAUCUUGGGGCAACCCAAGGUUUCUUCCAAGUUUGUUCAUGUAGCUGCAGAGCAAUGAAGAGGAGGAAGUCCUGCCAACAGACUAUAAAUGUUGAUCCCUUGCCUAAGGUCAUCGGUAGUUAUCUAAAAAAACAACUAGCUCAAUUUGCCUCUUGCAUAUGUUUUUCAAUGCGGUAAUCAUGAGCGAAGGUAAGAUCCCUUGUGAUCUACCAGAUCAUAACCAUGCAGGAGAAAUUAGAAGCACGGGGUACAACCCUGACCCUUUCGCAUUGAAGCUAGCUUGGGAGGAGCGCACAACAACGUAAGAUGUAUCUAUGAUUCCAUAUCAUUAUGUUGCCUUGCAAAAAAAUGAUAAUAAAAUAAAUAUUAAAAAAAUAAUAAUAACUUUCCUUUUCAAUAAAUGCAAGGACAUGUUAUCAUGAAGUACGCACCUUUGGGUAUUCUUGUUACUAACUCUUUCAGGUUAAGAUCAAGAAUUGUCAUACACAACUUGAGAACAUGUAGCAACAUCAACAACAAACCAUGUUGCUCUUGAGGAGUGGGACACACUCACAAGGAGACCCUGACCCAAUCCACUUGACUUUAUUACAAAAGUUCAAGUGUGGGGGAAGACGGUGAGACUCCCAACUCCCACUCGCACCAAGGGUCAUUCAUGACAAUGAAUGAUAGUCAAUGUUGCCUUGCUAAAAAAAGAGAUGCAUCGAAGUUAAAAAAAGAGAAAAAAAGAGAUGCAUCGAAGUUAAAAAAAGAGAAAAAAAAAAGAGAUGCGUCGAAAUAUAUAUAUAUUAAAAAAAGGGGAGUUUACUCCUAUACACCUUGUUGCUACCAAUAAGGCCAAAGGUCCACAUACACUAGUUGUGUGUGAUCCGACCUGAUGGUUCACCUGAGUGGGAGCAUGCACGACCACGCCACCGAUGCAACAUCUUCAAAAGAAAUCCACCUAUGCUGCCAGUAAGAGCACUUAGGUAUGCAAAAGAUAAUAAAUGUUCACCAACACUUUAGCUCAUAUUUGUCCCUACAUGAUCAUUCAAAUUCUUGCUUCCCUAUUUAUGACUUUUACUCUAAGUUUGGGUGUACCUACUUGAGUGCUCAUGUAGUACAUUCGUAGGCCUUUUCAAAUUAAGCAUGGUGCUUAGGUUGAAAUUGCCUUCUUUAGUCAAGUUUUGACAUGGUGUUGAAAUUUGAUUAAUGAAAUUCGAGUGUUUUCAUAAACAAUGGUAGUAAUCUAAUCUUGAGAUAAAUCUUGGCUUUGUUUCCAUUGCUUUGUUUAUCCUAAGCCUUAUUUAAGCUCUAAAGGUUGGUUGAGCUAGUUUCAAAAAAAUAGAUUUUUUUUUAAAAUUUUGUUUCCUUGACCUUUUAACCAAUAAGUCUCUUGCCUGUUGUAGCGUUUUGUUUUCUUUUCUUUGUUAUACUAAAAACAGGUACAAAAAUAAGUGUGGGGGAGAUCUCUCGAGCAUAACUCAAAACAAACUCGAGAUCUCCCCAACACGUUGCACAAACAUCGAGCUCAUCAUGCAGAAGGACAAGAUAAAUGACUUCCAUCAAGGCCUUCAUCUUCAACGCUGGUUUGUGCAACUGUACCCUUGCUUAAAAAAAUAAAUAAAUAAAAUCUUUGUUUAUCUUGUGCACUUGUUUUCUUGAUAUAUUUUCGUGACUAACCAAGACAGGAAAGAAAACAAGUGUGGGGGAAGGACUCUUCAAUUCAACUGCAUUUCGGUUUGUGCAUUUUUCUCCCCCUUUCACAAGUCAAAAAUAUUUUUCAAAAGAAAAAGUUUAAAUGAUGUACCCUUCAUACUCCAUCAAACAUGUCUCCUAUGUUCAAAUAAGUUUUUGCAUACUUUUUAUUCUUAGCUAAUAUCCCUAGAGGUUUAUGAACACUGUUUAUAGGGACCCCAUUUUAUCUAAGUAAUUGACGUAUGUGAUAUAGUAGGAUGACAUGAUGCUUGCUAGUUUUUGCAAAGUACUUGGGAUUUCUUUUACAAAAAAAAUUCAAUGGCACAUUUCUUGAAUGAUCAAGCUUUAUUCCUACCAUAGCCAAAUAUUUACUCUUCAUGAUGAAACCUUCUACAUAUGCUGCUUACUCUGUGUUGAGUUUGGUCAAAUUUUUGGACCGCUGUCGAGAGAUGUUUCAUGCCUCCAAGAUUAGAAUUCACUUGCACCCACCAAAUAAAGCUGACUCUCACACUGAGAAGUCGUGCACAACAUGCUUUUUCCAUCCACCCAAAAAUACGCCAACUCUUACACUGAGAGUUGCGCCCAUAUAUCCACCAAAUAAAAAUGCCAAUGUCUCACCUUGAGAAUUGCACAUUCAGUUACAUUCCUUGCAUUUGUUAUAAUAAAGCUCUCUUUCAUUUUCGCUAAAAGCAGAGGAAUGGCUAUAGUAAAAAAAAUAUUGUUAUAUUAUAGCCCAUGUCCUUCAAAGUUUUCCGUCUCAUUCAAAAGAGAGUCAUGAUGCAAGGAGUGCCCCAAAAAAAUAUAAAGUAGUGAUAGGUUUCCACCAAAAAUUCCACACACUUGCACAUUCUGAUCUAAGGGUAUGACGCACUCCCUCCGGUAUGGUCCUGGGUUUGACUCGACAACAUAUGCAGGGUAAGUAAGUUCCACUACUAUCAUACCUACCCAAAACUCCAGAUAAGCCUUUUAGAGGUAGGAUAAUCAAAAAGAAGGCAUCAACCCUCUAUGCCUUGGUAAGGAACCACUCACAUAUGUGAGUGACUUGAGAGCAUCAUUCAAGAAACAUAUGCUAUCUUUCUUUUUCAAAAUCAUGCAAAACGCCAAGUUUCUACGCAAGGACUGUGUAAGAGGAUUUGAAUCCAGGCUAUUCCAUGUUUCAAUUACCCAAGAUAGCUUGGUAGACACUUUGAAGUUCAUAAAUCCAGGUGAAGCUUGGAAUAACCUGUAUGCAGAUUCUUUUGACAAGGAAGAUGAACCCAUUUGGUCCUUAGUUCCUUCACUCGAGGACGAGCAAAGGACCAAGUGUGGGGGAGUUGUUGGUACCCCUUAUCCUAUAAUUAUAAACAUCAUUUUAAUAAGUAAAAUAAAUAGAUGGUAGAGCUUUUAACUAACCUUUCCACAAGUUUUGUUGUGAAUGUCAAUUUUAGGAAUGACACAUGGAAAGGUGCAAAAGACAUGAGAAAGCGCAAUUCGAGAAAGCAUAUUCAGAAAAGGCACAAAUCAAGAUAAAAUGGGAAAGCCCACCAAAACACCGAACCAAAUCCAUCCGUAACCACGGGGGAAGUCUAGGCCCAGAGCAGAGCCCACCACCAGAAGGCGGUUGGCAAACGCCACCGUGGGGGGUGGUGCGGCCGCACCACUGGUGGGCCCUCCUGGCCACAGCCUUCUAGAGGAACGUGUGAGGUGGUUUCCUAAGGACGGUUCCACCUACGAUCAAUGCAGAUGGAAAGUGGAAACCGCCCUUGGAGGUCGAUUUUGGACCUUUCUAUGUAGGGAUCGCCCUUUUUGCAUAGAGCCCCCUCCUCUUGGGCUAUAAAAGAGAGGGAGAGCGCCCCCCCAUAGCACACACCAUCAUUUGGAGCCUCUCUGUCACACCCUGUCUUUUAAAAUAAGACCAGAGUCGUCAUAUGUGUGCCCAGGAAGUCCACACAUAUAACAAAAGAAUAGAAAUAUCAGAAUCAAUGUUAUAUAUAGCGGAAAACAUAUUUAUAAUAACACUUACAAAACAUCAGAGUACGCGGAAACAGUAGCUAGAACUUCUUAGGCUCCAUUCUUCUCAGAGACGAUUGACUGGGGGCUCCGUACGCCAAGCACUUCUGAUAAGCUUCUAAAAAACUCCAUAGCAUCUUUGUUCUUCUUCUGAGCAGCACUUUACUACACACUGGGGGUGUGGGGGGGAAAUAGCAUGGGUGAGUUCAUGUCGAACUCAGCAAGCACAGACAGAAAGUAAUGACAUGCAAGGCUUAAAACAAGGUAAAGCUGACUUGGUUUGACUGCAGUAGCAUUUUAGUUGAUCACUUUUAAUUAUGACUAUUGUUAGAACAACGUAUUACUAAUUAUGAGUAGCAUAACCCAACCCUUAAUUAGUGUAAGUAGAAAUUAGCAUCUUUUUAAUGACUAUCCUAAUAAUUAUAGAGGUCCAGGGAUUAACCCCAAUUAUUAACACAGGAUAGCAAUCCUGCCAACACAGAAUAGCCAUUCCGCCAAAACACGAGGUAGCAACCUCGCCAAGUUCCAUCUCCAAGUAUCCAGUGAAUCCAAUUUGCUCAUCAAGUGAGGGUCUGGGCCACUCGUGACCGUGAGCACAGCUGAUAUAUCAGUUUUACACUCUGCAGAGGUGUGCACGUUCACUCCAAGUCAUGAUUCCCAUUUGCCCGGGGUCAUGACUCCCCAAAACAUUGCCAAGGUGAGUAGGCAGGGUCUCACUACGAGACCUUUCACAGGGUCCAACUAAUAGGAUGCCACUCGUAAGUUUUUGCCGGGGCGCUCGGCAGUCGAUACCCAUAUCCAUGGCGUACCGAGCAACCGACGUCUUAAUAUACAUUACCCAAGUUACUUCCUCACGCCUACUCGGAAAGUAACACCCUACUAGUGGAGGUCCUGCUAAUAAGUCAAGCCAGAGCCAUAUAGCUUGGAGGUGCACUGUAUGUCCCAGGGGGCCGCUCCCUGACUAAGUCCUUACGGAGAGGAGAGACAGGUACGCCCGGCAAACCAGACCACCAACAGUACCCGCUCCCCCUGUCACCACCAUCAUCACGAUGCUCGUAAGCAUCCAACAUCGCCAUCACCGCAGUGACCAAAGGUUCAGCACAGUUUAAGCAUCAAGUUAAGUAGAGAGUAAUUCUUGUUUAAGCAUGUGUAUAAGAUGAGUAGAGCAGCUAAGCAAACCUAGUAUAGCCUAGACUACCCAUAACAUAACCCCAGGUGAACAAGGAAUGGUAAGUAAAGCUAGUCAUGUCCUUAGGGUUUGCAUUCAUUGGACACAUGCAUGUAAAGUAAAUGACAUUGAUGAGUAGGUUCAAAAUGAUCAAACGGUGUCUGCACUUGCCUUUAUUCCCAGUGUAUAUCUGCUCAGAAUUCUUUAGCUUCUUUCUUCUGAUCUCGAACUUCCGCUUCGGUCGUCGGUCCUUAGCUCCUGAUCUUCACUGUUGACGAACCACGCUUCUUCUACGUGUAGCAACCAAGCAACACAAACAGACAAACAAAUAAUCACGACUAAGAACAAACAACAAUCAAAAGAAAAGCUUUGAAAAGAAGAGCGCAAUAAACGACACGACUUACUGCUACGAUCGUGACAACGCAAAAACGAUUGAGAAUGGAGCUAUCGUUAAAUAGACACGAUUAUCGAGGAUCGAAGUGUAACGGAGAAGAUGACUAUACGCUGGUCGUAUUUUAUUUAUAAAUAAUUAUAUACCACUGAAGCCAAUUAAGCAUUUAUAGUUUUUAAAAUAUAGAAUAUAUGAAAGCAACUAAUCAAGUGAUUAUAUAUCAUGUUUAAACUAAUCAAGUUAUAAUUAAUAAAGAAACAUUAAGGUUGAUAUUAAUAACAUCGGCAUUUAUUUAUUUACAAAAGAUCAAAAUUAUAAACCUAAGUUACUUUUAAUCAAAAAGUCAUUAAAUAAAUAUUAAACAAAAUAAUUAUAUAAUUUAUGUUUAACUCAAAGAAUCACAGUUAAUAAAUACUUAGGUUAACAUUAACAAAGUUGAUAUUAGAUUAUAAAAGAAAAUACCAAAGUGUAAACCUAAAUUGUUCUUUGUAGAUUAAAAGGACAUUUAGUUAGACAUUAAUUAUUUUGUAUUUAUGGUGAAAAUCUAAACGGUCAAACGAGGUAACUACUACUGCUAAAGCGUAGUUUACGACGAUAAGAAACUAACGCGACAAGAACGGGCUCAAUUGGAGUUAAAACGCAGAUUCUAUGGCCAAAACUAGGUCAGUGGCAAAAUUGUGAAUAAACAGAACUAUUUUUCAUAAUUUAAAUAAAUAAAACUGAAUUUUAAAAGCAUUUUGGACUAAAUAAAUAAAUACUAACGGCGCCAGGGGCUAAACUGCUAGAAGCAGGACUUAAAUCUAAUUCUUUUUGAACUGGGUUGGACUGCGGGUUAAAAACUAUAAAGGCCGAGGGCCUUUCUGCAAAAGGGCCAGAGGCGGCGCGGGAUGUGGUCGGCUGACCGGCCACGUGGCGGCGUGCGAGGGGCCUGGUCUACGGGCCGUGCUGUGGACCGAGGCGCGGGCGGUGGACCGCGGCCGGGACCGAGAGGGCGCGCACGACGACGACGUGGUCCGCGUCGGCGGCUCGCCGGAGUAGGGUGGUGCUUCUGCUACGGGGCUCGGCUGGUGAAGAGGAGGGCACGGGGAGAUAGAGUUCGGCGUUGCGGACUCGAUGCGAGGCUCGAGGCGGUGACGGUUGGCCCAGACGACGCUGCGCGCGAUGGCGCCAUGGAUGGCGGCCGCGAACUCGUCGGAGUUCGGCCAGAGGGCGCUACAGGGGGGCAAAAAGCUAAGGCGAGGGUACGGGAGAGUUCCUCACCUCCUUGCGAACCUCAGGGUGGCGUUCUUGUCGACGGAGAUGUAGAGGAGGCGGAGAACGACGUUGGCGGAACCUCGGCUCCGCGGCUAUGGCGACGACAAGGUGCGGCUCGGGCUUAGGGCGGAGGCAGCGGUGCCCUAGGGUUAGGCGGGCGUGCGGCGCACAGGGCUAAGCCCUUUUUAUGGGCGCGGGGCAUCCUCGGGGUGCGCGCUCGGGGCUCGAAUCGACGGCGGCAGUGCUCCCCGUGCGAUGCGGGAGGUAGGGGAUGACCCCUCCCCGCUGACGCGUGGGGCCGGGGCGUCAGCGGCUCGGGCACGGGCGGGCAGGUGGGGCCCGCCUGGCAGUGGCUGCGCGCAGGGAGAAGGGGAAGGUGGGCUUGCGCGCUGUCGCUGGGCCGAGGCCCAAGUGGGAGGCGGGAGCAGGUCAUGGCUCGGAGCUGGGCCGAAGAAGAGGGGGUGGGGGCAGCCUAGAGAGAAAGGAAACCCUUUUUCUUUUUAUAAAAAAAAUGAUUUCUAAACUACUUUACUAAACCAAUUCCAAAACCCUUUUUAAUUCCUAAUUUGAGAUUAUUUAAGAGCACUGCUUGCGACUGACCAUGCAGGUAAUGAAGAUCAAAUAGAAGAACAUAUUAAUGCAGGUGAAGCGGACCACUAUGAGAGCUUGAUCGUGCAGCGAGUGCUUAGUGCAGAAAUGGAGAUGGCGGAGCAAAAUCAGCGACACAUUUUAUUCCAAACAAAGUGUGUCAUCAAAGAGCGUUCUUGUUGCAUGAUCAUGGAUGGAGGUAGCUGCAACAACUUGGCAAGCAGCGAUAUGGUGCAGAAGCUUGCCCUCAACACCAAACCACACCCGCAUCCCUACUACAUCCAAUGGCUGAACAACAGUGGUAAGGCAAAGGUAACUAGACUUGUGAGAAUUAAUUUUUCCAUCGGAUCCUACAAAGAUAUUGUUGAAUGUGAUGUUGUGCAUAUGCAAGCUUGUAACAUUCUGCUAGGUAGACCUUGGCAAUUUGAUAGAGAUUCUAUGCAUCAUGGUAGAUCAAAUCAGUAUUCUUUUCUAUACCAUGAUCGCAAAAUUGUGUUGCAUCCUAUGUCCCCUGAAACUAUUAUGCAAACUGAUGUUGCUAGGGCUACUAAAGCAAAGAGUGAGAGCAAUAAAAAUGAUAAAUCUGUAAUUGGUAACAAAGAUGAGAUAAAACUGAAAGGACGUUGUAUGAUAGCUACCAAAUUAGAUAUUAAUGAGUUCAAUGCAUCCACUUCUGUUGCUUAUGCUUUGAUAUGCAAGGAUGCUUUGAUUUCAAUUGAGGAUAUGCAAUGUUCUUUGCCUCCUGCUGUUGCUAACGUUUUGCAGGAGUAUUCUGAUGUGUUUCCAAGUGAGGUACCAGCGGGGCUGCCUCCACUACGCGGGAUUGAGCACCCAAUUGAUCUUAUUCCUGGAGCAGUUUUGCCAAAUCGUGCACCAUACAGGACAAACCCGGAGGAAACAAAGGAAAUUCAGCGACAAGUGCAAGAACUACUAGACAAAGGUUAUGUCCGAGAAUCUCUUAGUCCUUGUGCUGUUCCAGUAAUUUUAGUGCCUAAGAAAGAUGGAACAUGGCGUAUGUGUGUUGAUUGUAGAGCUAUUAAUAAUAUCACCAUUCGAUAUCGACACCCUAUUCCACGAUUAGAUGAUAUGCUAGAUGAACUGAGUGGUGCUGUUGUGUUUUCAAAAGUUGAUUUACGUAGUGGGUACCACCAGAUUCGUAUGAAAUUGGGAGAUGAAUGGAAAACUGCUUUCAAAACUAAGUUCGGUUUGUAUGAGUGGUUAAUCAUGCCUUUUGGGUUAACUAAUGCACCUAGUACUUUCAUGAGAUUAAUGAACGAGGUUUUGCAUGCUUUCAUUGGGAAAUUUGUUGUCGUAUAUUUUGAUGACAUAUUGAUUUACAACAAAUCAUUGGAUGAACUUCUUGAUCAUUUACGUGCUGUUUUUAAUGCACUACGCGAGGCACGUUUAUUUGGUAACCUUGAGAAGUGCACCUUUUGCACCGAUCGAGUGUCUUUUCUUGGUUAUGUUGUGACUCCACAGGGAAUUGAGGUUGAUCAAGCCAAGGUGGAAGCUAUACAGGGAUGGCAUGUCCCAAAUACUAUCACCCAGGUGCGGAGUUUCCUAGGACUUGCUGGAUUCUAUCGCCGUUUUGUGAAGGAUUUCAGCACCAUUGUUGCACCAUUGAAUGAGCUUACAAAGAAGGGGGUGCCUUUUGAUUGGGGCAAAGCACAAGAGAAUUCAUUCAACAUGUUGAAAGAUAAGUUAACUCAUGCACCUCUCCUACAACUUCCUGAUUUUAAUAAGACUUUUGAGCUUGAAUGUGAUGCUAGUGGAAUUGGUUUGGGAGGUGUUUUAUUACAAGAGGGAAAACCUAUUGCAUAUUUUAGUGAGAAAUUGAGUGGGCCUGUUCUCAAUUAUUCAACUUAUGAUAAAGAACUCUAUGCUCUUGUUAGAACAUUAGAGACAUGGCAGUAUUAUUUGUGGCCCAAAGAGUUUAUUAUCCAUUCUGAUCAUGAAUCUUUGAAACAUAUUCGUAGUCAAGGAAAACUGAAUCGUAAGCAUGCAAAAUGGGUUGAAUUUAUUGAAUCUUUUCCUUAUACUAUUAAGCACAAGAAAGGGAAGGAAAAUAUUAUUGCUGAUGCUUUAUCACGGAGAUAUACUUUGCUGAAUCAACUUGAUUACAAGAUAUUUGGGUUAGAAACAAUUAAAGACCAAUAUGUUCAUGAUGCUGAUUUUAGAGACGUGUUGCUGCAUUGUAAAGAUGGAAAAGGGUGGAAUAAAUUCAUCGUUAGUGAUGGGUUUGUGUUUAGAGCUAACAAGCUAUGCAUUCCAGCUAGCUCUGUUCGUUUGUUGUUGUUGCAGGAAGCGCAUGGAGGUGGCUUGAUGGGACAUUUUGGAGCCAAGAAGACCGAGGACAUACUUGCUGGUCAUUUCUUUUGGCCAAGGAUGAAGAGAGAUGUGGAGAGGUUUGUUGCUCGUUGCACAACAUGUCAAAAGGCAAAGUCACGGUUAAAUCCCCACGGUUUGUAUUUACCUCUUCCUGUUCCUAAUGCUCCUUGGGAGGAUAUAUCUAUGGAUUUUGUGUUGGGACUACCAAGGACUAGGAGGGGACGUGAUAGUGUGUUUGUGGUUGUUGAUAGAUUUUCUAAGAUGGCACAUUUCAUACCAUGUCAUAAAACUGAUGAUGCUACAAAUAUUGCUGAUUUGUUCUUUUGAGAAAUUGUUCGCUUACAUGGUGCGCCCAACACAAUUGUUUCUGAUCGUGAUGCUAAAUUUCUUAGUCAUUUUUGGAAGACUUUGUGGUUCAAAUUGGGGACUAAGCUUUUAUUUUCCACCACUUGUCUUCCCCAAACUGAUGGUCAAACUGAAGUUGUUAAUAGAACUUUAUCCACUAUGUUAAGGGCUGUUUUAAAGAAGAAUAUUAAGAUGUGGGAAGAAUGUUUGCCUCAUAUUGAGUUCGCCUAUAAUCGUUCAUUGCAUUCUACUACAAAAAUGUGUCCUUUUGAGAUUGUCUAUGGCUUCUUGCCACGUGCUCCUAUUGAUUUAAUGCCUUUGCCAAGUUCUGAAAAAAUAAAUUUUGAUGCUAAGCAACGUGUUGAAUUGAUGUUAAAAUUGCAUGAAGCCACUAAACAAAACAUAGAGCGCAUGAAUGUUAAGUACAAAUGCGCUGGAGAUAAAGGUAGAAAGCAAUUGAUUCUGGAACCUGGGGAUUUGGUUUGGUUGCAUUUGCGAAAAGAUAGAUUUCCAGAACUGAGAAAAUCCAAAUUGAUGCCUAGAGCUGAUGGUCCUUUUAAAGUGCUGCACCGGAUUAAUGAGAAUGCAUAUAAGCUUGAUCUUCCUGCAGAUUUUGGGGUUAGUCCCACAUUUAACAUUGCAGAUUUGAAGCCUUAUUUGGGUGAGGAAGAUGAGCUUGAGUCGAGGACGACUCAAAUGCAAGCAAGGGAGGAUGAUGAGGACAUCAACACCAGCGAUACAUCCUCUCCGACACAACCUAUAGCUGGUCCUCUUACUCGUGCUCGUGUUCGUCAACUCAAUAAUCAAGUGAGUUCCUUGAUAAGCUCGUGUCCAUCUUGUUUAGACAAUGGAAACGCGUGCACUCUUGUUUUGAUUAGGAACCAAGGAGAAGACCGAAAGGGAGAAGGACUCACGCUCGCUGGAUUCGGACAGCAGCAAAGCGCCAACUUGUGACCGUUACCACGGUUGCAUACGGAUUCAGAUUCAGGCGCUUCAGGACUUGUUGGAAAGCUUAUGAAGUCUACUUUCAUAUGAAUCAAGUCCCACAUCAAUACCUGUUUGGCAACAGCAGCAAUGAUCCAAUUACCGUCGAUAGGUCUUGCUGUCCAGGGUGCUGCGUCACCUCAUUUUGGGCUGAUGGCCCAUGUAUCAAGUUGGGUCUAUUAGGGACGCGUCCUAGGGUUGGAGGACGACCCCAACACCUCUUUGGUCAUCAAUCCAUCUACUUAUAUCCCUCUAGAGCCGCCAUGGUCGUUGGGUUUUGUUUAGAUCAAGUUUAGCCUUCGCUACUUGCUUGUAGGCGCGCGUGCAGGAUCAGCCGCCCGUCUCUUUGUCUUCGGAACCCCAUUGUUGAUUCAGAUUCAGUUUGAAACCUUCAAUUCAUCUUGCAAAUUCAGUGCUUGUUUCCUCGUUCUUGCUAGUUCUUCGAUUGCUUGUAGGACGGGAGCCCUAGGGGCUGGUUGUCGCGCUCCACAAGAUCGUGACGGCUGUGGAACUUGGUGUAUCGGUUGCUAAGGCGCGGUCUUGAGGGCUGUAGUCGGGCCGUGAACGUCAUCUCCAUCCACCAAUCGAGUUAUCCCCGUCUCUCAUCAAAAGAUCAGGCAAAAACCCUAGCGGGUUCGCAUCAACACACGUCAUCAAGGAGUUCUAUCGGGUGUGUCCAAAUGAAUUUCUAAGCAUAUGGUAUGUUCCAUGCAGACCGUGCACCUAUCUUGCAUCAAGAUUAGCACUAUCUCCAAACAGAUCAAAUUGAGCUUCCAAUUGAGCCUCUUCACCGAACUACCAACAGGUGCUUCUAAAAUGGUUUCUUAGACUAUGGUGCAUUAGGCGCAAACCAUGCACAUAUCUAGCACCGAAACUAACACUAUUUCUAAACAGACCAAAGCGAGAUUCCAUAUGACACACGUCAUCAAGGAGUUCCAUCGGGUCCAUCCAAAUUGAUUUCCAAGCAUAUGGUAUGUUCCAUGCAAACCGUGCACCUAUCUUGCAUCAAGAUUAGCACUAUCUCCAAACAGACCGAACCGAGCUUCCACUUGAGCCUCUUCAUCUAGGAGUACAAACAGGUGCUUCAAAAAUGGUUUCUUAGACAAUGGUGCAUUAGGCACAAACAAUGCACCUAUCUUGCACCAAAACUAACAUUGUCACCAAACAGACCGAAGCAAGAUUCCAUAUGACACACGUCAUCUAGGAGUUCCAUUGGGUGCAUCCAAAUUGAUUUCAUAACAUAUGGUACGUUCUAUGCAAACUUUGCAACUAUCUUGCAUCAAGAUUAGCACUAUAUCCAAACAGACCAAAUCGAGCCUCCACUUGAGCCUCUUCAACUAUGAGUACCAUCGGGUGCGUCUAAAAUGGUUUCUUAGCCUAUGGUGCAUUAGGCGUAAACUGUGCACAUAUCUUCUACCAAAACUAACACUGUCUCUAAACGAACCGAAGCAAGAUUCCAUAUGACACACAUCAUCAAGGAGUUAUAUCAGGUGCGUCCUAAUUGAUUUCUGAGCAUAUCAUAUGUUCCAUGCAAACCGUGCAUCUAUCUUGCAUCAAGAUUUGCACUAUCUGCAAUCAGACUAAACAAGUAUGGAGUUAUCCUUCUUUUUUUUAUCACGUUGGUGGAACUCAGAUUGGAACUCUACUCGAUCCGGACCAAGACCACAGUUCAAUUCGGACUUCGCAACAGAUUCGACAGAGAAAAGAUAUGGUAAUACUCGGCUGUGUAUAGAUGGUGACAAGAACUCGAAACUCUAAAGGACUAGACACUAAGACCAGCAACUCGACACAAACCGAAGCAACGCAAAUUCAACAAGCCCUAACUAAAACGGUACUACCCAAGGCACAAAGGUUUAAUAGGUUAUGGAAAAACUAAUCUACUAUAUUUUUUUGGCUUUUCUGGACUAUAGAAAAUUAAUUAAAAACAGCAAAGGAUUAGAAGUCUCUCACCGAAGAACCUUGCUCUGAUUACCAACUGAUGCGAACCCGCUAGGGUUUUUGCCUGAUCUUUUGAUGAGAGACGGAGAUAACUCGAUUGGUGGAUGGAGAUGACGUUCACGGCCCGACUACAGCCCUCAAGACCGCGCCUUAGCAACCGAUACACCACGUCCAACAGUCGUCACGAUCUUGUGGAGCGCGACAACCAGCCCCUAGGGCUCCCGUCCUGCAAGCAAUCGAAGAACUAGCAAGAACGAGGAAACAAGCACUGAAUUUGCAAGAUGAAUUGAAGGUUUCAAACUGAAUCUGAAUCAACAAUGGGGUUCCGAAGACAAGGAGACGGGCGGCUGAUCCUGCACGCGCGCCUACAAGCAAGUAGCGAAGGCUAAACUUGAUCUAAACAAAACCCAACGACCAUGGCGGCUCUAGAGGGAUAUAAGUAGAUGGAUUGAUGACCAAAGAGGUGUUGGGGUCGUCCUCCAACCCUAGGACGCGUCCCUAAUGGACCCAACUUGAUACAUGGGCCAUCAGCCCAAAAUGAGGUGACGCAGCACCCUGGACAGCAAGACCUAUCGACGGUAAUUGGAUCAUUGCUGCUGUUGCCGAACAGGUAUUGAUGUGGGACUUAAUUCAUAUGAAAGUAGACAUGAUAAGCUUUCCAACAAGUCCUGAUGCGCCUGAAUCCGAAUCCGUAUGCAACCGUGGUAACGGUCACAAGUUGGCGCUUUGCUGCUGUCCGAAUCCAGCGAGCGUGAGUCCUUCUCCCUUUCGGUCUUCUCCUUGGUUCCUAAUCAAAACAAGAGUGCACGCGUUUCCAUUGUCUAAACAAGAUGGACACGAGCUUAUCAAGGAACUCACUUGAUUAUUAAGUUGACGAACACGAGCACGAGUAAGAGGACCAGCUAUAGGUUGUGUCGGAGAGGAUGUAUCGCUGGUGUUGAUGUCCUCAUCAAGAUAGGUGCACAGUUUGCGCCUAAUGCACCAUAGUCUAAGAAACCAUUUUGGACGCACUAUUUGGUAGUCUAGGGUGAAGAGUGUCAAGUGGAUGCUCGAUUCGGUUUGUUUGGAGAUAGUGCUAAUCUUGAUGCAAGAUAGGUGCACGGUUUGCAUGGAACAUACCCAAUGCUUGGAAAUCAAUCUGGAUGCACAUGAUGCAACUCCUAGAUGACGUGUUUCAUACGAAAUCUUGCUUCGGUCUGUUUGGAGACAGUGUUAGUUUCAGUGCAAGAUAGGUGCAAGGUUUGCACAUAAUGCGGCAUAGGAGAAGAAAUCAUUUUGGACGCACCCGAUGGUACUCCUAGGUAAAAGGCUCAAGUGAAAGCUCGGUUUGGUCUAUUUGGAGAUAGUGCUAAUCUUGAUUCAAGAUAGAUGCACGGUCUGCAUGGAACGUACCAUAUGCUUAGAAAUUAAUUUGGACACACCCGAUAGAACUCCUUGAUGACGUGUGUGAUAUGGAAUCUCGCUUUGGUGUGCUUAGAGACAGUAUUAGUUUUGGUGCAAGAUAUGUGCACGGUUUGCGCCUAAUGUGAUGAGGACAUCAACACUGCCGACACCAGUACCUAUUGCUGGUCCUCUUACUCGUGCUCAUGCUUGUCAACUUAAUCAUCAAGUGAGUUCUUUCUUAAGCUCUUGUCCAUCUUGUUUAGACCUUAGAAACACAUGUACUUUUGUUUUGAUUAGGAACCAAGGAGAAGACCGAAAGGGACAAGGACUCACGUUGGCUGGAUUAGGACUGCAGCAAAGCGCCAACUUGUGACCGUCACCACGGUUGCAUACGGAUUCAGAUUGGGGUGCUUCAGGACUUGUUGGAAAGCGUAUAAAGUCUACUUUCAUACAAGUCUAGUCCCACGACAAUAUAUGUUCGGCAGCAGCGGCAAAGAUCCAAUUACCGUAGAGAGGUCUUGCUGUCCAGGGUGCUGCGCCACCUUAUUUUGGGCUGAUGGCCCAUGUAUCAAGUUGGAUCUAUUAGGGACGUGUUCUUGGGUUAAACCAUGACCCUAGAUCUCCUUUAGUCAUCCUUUAGGGUACUUAAUGUCCCUACAGCCACCGCCACAUAGUUGGGUUUUGAUUAGAUCAAGUUUAGCCUUCGCUACUUGCUUGUAAACGCGCGUGCUGAUCCAGCUGCCCGUCUUCUUGUUUUCAGAACCCUACUUCAUUGGAGAUUGUGUUUGAAAUCUUUGUUUACAUCUAGUAAUUCAGUACUUGUUCUACUUGUUCUUGCUGGUUCUUCGAUUGCUUGUAGGACGAGUGCCCUACUGGCUAGUUGUCGCGCUCCACAAGAUCGUGACAGCCAUUGGAGGUGGUGUAUCAGUUGCUAAGGCAUGACCUUGGAGGGCUGUAGUCGGACCGUGAACGUCAACUCCUUUCACCAAUCGAGUUACCCAGCAUCUCUCAUCGAAAGAUUGGGCGAAAACCCUAGUGGGUUCUUAUCAAUUGGUAAUCAGAGCAAGGUUUAUUAGUGAGAGACUUUCAAUUCUUUGCUGUUUUACUUUUCCCAUAUUUCCAAUAAAAAGCCAAAAACAGUAGUAGAUUAGUUUUCCCACAGUCCUAUAAACACUUUGAGCCUUGGCUAGCACUACUUAGUUAGGGCUUGUUGUGUUUGAUUUACUUCGGUUGAGUCAAGUUGCUGGUCUUAGGGUUAGGCUUUUAGAGUUUUGAGUUCUUGUCACGUUUUGGUCCUAUCCAUCAUUUUCAUCUCGCUAUCAUCACCACCACCAUAUAUUACAUAUCCACUACAUAUUUAUCUCAAUUGCAAUCUUUACUGCCAUAUUUUUCUUUGUUACACCAUAUCCACCAUUACUCACUGAAAAGAAACAAAAAUACUUUGUAAGUUGUUUCUAUUUGGAAUCUGAUUUGUCCUAGUUUUGCAAAGUAAAGGAAAAGAAGAAGAAAGAGUAUAAAGAAGAGAAAAGAAAAAAAAGAGAACAAAAACAAAAAGAAAAGGAAAAGAACAGAAAAGAAAAAGGAAAGGGGAGUAAUAGGUUCCUGUUGCUAUUCUUGUGUUGUUUCUAACUAUACAGUGACUCCGUUUGUGUCUAGGCUUGCGUCUCUAGCACGAUCUAGCCUAGGACCAGCAUGGUACCACCGUCGAAUGAUUUCUCAACUUGCUUUUGUAAUUAACAUGGUGCUAGUUAUUCCUUGUUUUUAGUCCACCUAUAGCUCCACAUAUUCUACAGCUUGACAGGUCUUGUUGCUGCAGCACCGAUACACUUCAUUCCAUUGCUGCAGACUUGUCGGUAGCCGACACCUCCUGUUGAGCAAGGUAAGAAUUGGUAAGAACUUGUCUAACAGGUUGAGAGUGAGCGCCUUAUUGUAGCUACAUCCUAAUAGUUGUAGGGCUUGUGUUUCUUCACCUAUUUUCUUGUUUCCACUAUUUUUUUAAAAACCAUGUUAGAAACAGAGGAAGUCAACAAGAUUCUGUAGUCACCUCACACUAAGGGCAUCAUACAAUAUUUUGAAAGGCAAGUGAAGCUGCACACAGAGGGGCUUGAUAACGACUUGCAGGUGACGAAUGAAGAGCUAGGGCAGUUGGAGGCCACACAGAUUGCCACUAAUGACAAGCUUACAAAGGUGGAGGUAGCUGUUGCUAAUGUGGAUAAAAGUCUUGUUGCGCUUCUCAAGCAUUUUGAUGCUUUCCACAUAAUGGAUAAAGAGAAGCAUAAGGAAGAAAACAAGGAGGAAGAACGAGUGGACAACAAGUACGAUGAUGAUUACACUGCUGAUACUGAACGGGAUGAUCAAGACACUCGUGAUCGACGUCGCCUACAUCACAACCGUAGAGGUAUGGGUGGCCACCGCCGAUGUGAGGUACACAAUAAUAAUGAUGCUUUCAGUAAGAUUAAAUUUAAAAUACCUCCUUUUGAUGGUAAAUAUGAUCCUGAUACUUACAUUACUUGAGAGAUUGUUGUUGAUCAAAAGUUUGCACGGAAUGAAUUUCCUGAGGAUACUCGUGUUAGGGCUGCUACUAUUGAGUUUACUGAUUUUGCCUCAGUUUGGUGGAUAGAACAUGGAAAGAAGAAUCCCAAUAACAUACCUCGAACUUGGUGUGCAUUGAAGAGAAUCAUGCGGGCUAGAUUUGUUCCUUCUUACUAUGCACGUGAUUUGUUACAUAAGUUGCAGCAAUUAAGACAAGGUGCUAAAAGUGUAGAAGAAUAUUAUCAGGAAUUACAAAUGGGUAUGCUGUGAUGUAAUUUAGAGGAGGAAGAGGAACCUGCUAUGGCUAGAUUUUUGGGUGGGUUAAAUCGUGAAAUUCAAGAUAUUCUUGCUUAUAAAGAAUAUACUAACGUAAAGCCGAAAGGGAAGUGCAGGGAAGACGUUCUAGCACCAGGUCUAAUGUUUUUGUAGGGAAAUCAAUAUCAUGGCAACAGCGCACAUCUAAUUCCAUGUCAGGUCGUGCAUCUCCCCAACAAAGCCGAUCAUCGGCGCCACCACCUUCUUCCAAUGACAAACAACAUGAUUCAUCCACAAAUUCAGCAACCAAACUAGUCCCAAAACCAGCUGCUAGUGCCUCUUCGGUUGCUUCCACAGGAAGAAUAAGGGAUAUCUAGUGUCAUCGAUGCAAGGGCUACGAACAUGUGCAGCGUGAUUGUCCCAACAAGUGUGUUUUGGUGGUUAACGCUGAUGGUGGGUAUUCCUCUGCUAGUGAUUUUGAUGAUGAUACACUUGCAUUGCUUGCGGCUGACCAUGCAGGUAGUGAAGAAUAUUUAGAAGAACACAUUGAUGCCGGCGAUGCAGAUCGCUAUGAGAGUCUCAUUGUGCAGCGUGUGCUUAGUGCACAAAUGGAGAAAGCGGAACAAAAUUAGCGACACACAUUCUUCCAAACAAAGUGUGUCAUCAAAGAGCAUUCGUGCCGCAUGAUCAUUGAUGGAGGAAGUUGCAACAACUUGGCCAGUAGUGAAAUGGUGGAGAAGCUUGCACUUACCACCAAGCCACACCCACACCCGUAUUACAUUCAAUGGCUGAACAAUAGUGGUAAGGCAAAGGUAACUAGACUUGUGAGAAUCAACUUCACCAUUGGAUCAUAUAAAGAUGUUGUUGAAUGUGAUGUUGUGCCUAUGCAAGCUUGUAAUAUUCUGCUAGGUAGACCUUGGCAAUUUGAAGGGAUUCCAUGCAUCAUGGUAGAACAAAUCAAUACUCCUUCCUGUUCCAUGAUAGAAAAAUUAUGUUGAACCCUAUGUCGCCUGAAGCUAUUAUGCAAAGUGAUGUUGCUAAAGCUGCAAAAGCUAAAUGUGAGAGAAAUACAAAUGCCAAAUCUGUUGCUAAUAAGAAAGAUGAGAUAAAAUUAAAAGGCACAUGUUUGCUUGCUACUAAAUCUGAUAUUAAUGAGUUCAAUGCUUCUACAUCUAUUGCCUAUGCUAUGGUAUGCAAGGAUGCUUUGAUUUUAAUUUCAGAUAUGCAGCAUUCUUUGCCCCCUACUGUUGCUAACAUUUUGCAGGAGUAUUCUGAUGUUUUUCCAAGUGAGAUACCAGCGGGGCUGCCUCCUAUACGUGGAAUUGAGCACCAAAUUGAUCUUAUACCCGGUGCAUCUUUGGCGAACCGUGCGCCAUAUAGGGUAAAUCCGGAGGAAACAAAAGAAAUCUAGCGACAAGUGCAAGAACUACUCAACAAAGGUUAUGUACGUGAGUCUCUUAGUCCUUGUGCUGUUCUGGUUAUUCUGGUGCCUAAGAAAGAUGGAACAUGGCGUAUGUGUGUCGAUUGUAGGGCUAUUAAUAAUAUCACCAUUCACUAUCGACACCCUAUUCCCCGUUUAGAUGAUAUGCUUGAUGAAUUGAGUGGUGUUGUUGUGUUCUCCAAAGUUGAUUUACAUAGUGGGUUCCAUCAGAUUCGUAUGAAAUUGGGAGAUGAAUGGAAAACUGCUUUCAAAACUAAAUUUGGCUUAUAUGAGUGGUUAGUAAUGCCAUUUGGAUUAACUAAUGCUCCCAGUACUUUCAUGAGACUAAUGAACGAAGUUUUGCGAGCUUUCAUUGGAAAAUUUGUUAUAGUCUAUUUUGAUGAUAUAUUGAUUUAUAGCAAAUCUAUGGAUGAACAUCUUGAUCAUUUACGUGUUGUUUUUAAUGCUCUACGUGAUGCACGUUUAUUUGGUAAUCUUGAGAAGUGCACGUUUUGCACCGAUCGAGUGUCUUUUCUUGGCUAUGUUGUGAAUCCACAGGGAAUUGAGGUUGACCAAGCCAAGGUGGAAGCUAUACAGGGAUGGUCUGUACCAAACACUAUCACCGAGGUGUGGAGUUUCCUAGGACUUGCUGGAUUUUAUCGCCGUUUUGUGAAGGAUUUCAGCACCGUUGCUGCACCAUUGAAUGAGCUUACAAAGAAGGGAGUGCCUUCUGAAUGGGGUAAAGCACAAGAGAAUUAUUUUAACAUGUUGAAAGAUAAGCUAACUCAUGCACCUCUCCUACAACUUCCUAAUUUUAAUAAGACUUUUGAGCUUGAAUGUGAUGCUAGUGGAGUUGGUUUGGGUGGUGUUUUGUUACAAGAGGGUAAACCUAUUGCAUAUUUUGGUGAGAAAUUAAGUGGGCCUGUUCUCAAUUAUUCUACUUAUGAUAAAGAACUCUAUGCUCUUGUUCAAACAUUAGAGACAUGGCAGCAUUAUUUGUGGCCCAAAGAGUUUGUUAUACAUUCUGAUCAUGAAUCUUUGAAACAUAUUCGUAGUCAAGGAAAACUGAAUCGUAAACAUGCUAAAUGGGUAGAAUUUAUUGAAUCCUUUCCUUAUGUUAUUAAGCACAAGAAAGGGAAGGAGAAUAUUAUUGCUCAUGCUUUGUCAAGGAGAUAUACUUUGCUAAAUCAACUUGAUUACAAGAUCUUUGGAUUAGAAACAAUUAAAGACCAAUAUGUUCAUGAUGCUGAUUUUAGAGACGUGUUGCUGCAUUGUAAAGAUGGAAAGGCAUAGAACAAAUUCAUCGUUAAUGAUGGGUUUGUGUUUAGAGCUAACAAGCUAUGCAUUCCAACUAGCUCUGUUCGUUUGUUGUUUUUGUAGGAAGCACAUGGAGGUGGCUUGAUGGGCCAUUUUGGAGCCAAAAAGACAGUGGACAUACUUGCUGGUCAUUUCUUUUGGCAAAAGAUGAAAAGAGAUGUGGAGAGGUUUGUUGCUAGAUGCACAACAUGUCAAAACGCAAUGUCACGGUCAAAUCGACACGGUUUGUGAUGAGGACAUCAACACCAGCGAUACAUAUCCUACAUCCACCAGCGAUACAUACCCUACAUCCUCUCCGGCACAACCUAUAGCUGGUCCUCUUACUCGUGCUCGUGCCCGUCAACUCAACCUUCAAGUAAGUUCAGUUUUAAACUCUUGUCAAUCAUAUUUAGACAAUGGAGACACGUGCACUUUCGUGUUGCUCAGGAAUAAUGGACAAGAUCAGCAAGGGAAGGUUCAACUGCAUUCAGAAUUUGAGGCAACACCAACUUCAAGGGCUGAUUGCAUAUGGGAAGAGUGAUAACUUAACAAAGGUGAUUGGAGAUCAGGUCCAAGCCUCCACAACAUCCUCUAUCAAGUUACCACAUCGCUUCUAAAGCAAGGAAACAAAGAGUCCAAACCCAACACGUUUUGGGAGUUGGAUUCGGACUGGAAAAUAACUCUAACUUGUAUGGAUCACCACGGCGUCAUAUGGACUCCAACUGGGACGUUCCCAUACUUGUUGGAAAGCUCAUGAAGUCUACUUUCCAAUGGGUCCAACCACAUAUCUAUGCAGCUUAUGAGUCGGGCGCAGUCCUUGUUUUCGUGCCGACACCUUUUUCUGUUUUGGUGCUGCGUCACCCUAUUUUGGACCAAUGGCCCAUGUAUCAAGUUGAGUCCAUUAGGGACGCGUCCUAGGGUUGGAGGACGACUCUAGCACCCCUUUGGUCGUCCUCCCCUCUAUUUAUUUACAUCUAGAGCCGCCAUGAACAACUGGGUUUUGAUUAGAUAAAGUUUAGCCUUCGCUACUUGCUUGUAAACGCGCGUGCUGAUCCAGCCGCCCGUCUACUUGUUUUCGAAACCCCACUUCAUUAGAGAUUGAGUUUGAAACCUUCAUUUACAUCUAGUAAUUUAGUACUUGUUCUACUUGUUCUUGCUGGUUCUUCGAUUGCUUGCAGGACGAGUGCCCUAGUGGCCGGGUGUUGCGCUCCACAAGAUCGUGACAGCCAUUGGUGGCGGUGUAUCGGUUGCUAAGGCGCGGCCUUAGAAGGCUGUAGUCGGGCCGUGAACGUCAUCUCCAUUCACUAAUCGAGUUAUCCAGCGCCUCUCAUCGAAAGAUCGGGCGAAAACCCUAGUGGGUUCACAUCAGUUUGUACUUACCUCUACCUGUUCCUAAUGCUCCUUGGGAGGAUAUAUCUAUGGAUUUUGUGUUGGGGUUACCAAGGACUAGGAGGGGACAUGAUAGUGUGUUUGUGGUUGUUGAUAGAUUUUCUAAGAUGGCACAUUUCAUACCAUGUCAUAAAACUGAUGAGCUAUACAUAUUGCUGAUUUGUUCUUUCGAGAAAUUAUUCGCUUGCAUGGUGUACCCAACAUAAUUGUUUCUGAUCGUGAUGCUAAAUUUCUUAGUCAUUUUUGGAAGACUUUGUGGUCAAAAUUGGGGACUAAUCUUUUAUUUUCUACUACAUGUCAUCCCCAAACUGAUGGUCAAACUGAGGUUCCGAAUAGAACUUUGUCAACUAUGUUAAGAGCCAUUUUAAAGAAGAACAUUAAAAUGUUGGAAGAAUGUUUUGCCUCAUAUUGAAUUUGCUUAUAAUGGAUCGCUGCAUUCUACUACAAAAAUGUGCCCGUUUCAGGUUGUUUAUGGUUUGUUGCCUCGAGCUUCGGUAGAUUUAAUGCCUUUGCCAUCUUCUAAAAUAGUAAAUUUUGAUGCUACUAAGCGUGCUGAAUUGAUGUUGAAACUGCAUGAAACAACUAAGCAAAACAUAGAGCGUAUGAAUGCUAAGUAUAAGCUUGUGGGUGAUAAAGGAAGAAAGGAAUUGAAAUUUGAACCUGGAGAAUUAGUUUGGUUGCAUACCAUAUGCUUAGAAAUCAAUUUGGAUGCACCUGAUGGAACUCCUUGAUGACGUGUGUCAUAUGGAAGCUCGCUUCGGUCCAUUUGGAGACAUUGUUAGUUUCGGUGCAAGAUAAGUGCACAUUUUGCACCUAAUGCACCAUAGUCUAAGAAACCAUUUUGGAUGCACCCAAUGGUACUCCAAGGUCGAGGGGCUCAAGUGAAAACUCGGUUUGGUCUAUUUGGAGAUAGUGCUAAUCUUGAUGCAAGAUAGAUGCACGGCCUGCAUGGAACGUACCAUAUGCUUAUAAAUUAAUUUGGACACACCUGAUAGAACUCCUUGAUGACGUGUGUCAUAUGGAAUCUUGCUUUGGUGUGCUUAGAGAUAGUAUUAGUUUUGGUGCAAGAUAUGUGCACGGUUUGCGCCUAAUGCACCAAAGUCUAAGAAACCUUUUUGGAAGCACCUUUGAUACUCCUAGGUGUAGAGGCUCAAGUGGAGGCUCGGUUCGGUCUGUUUAGAGAUAGUGCUAAUCUUGAUGCAAGAUAGGUGCACGAUUUGCAUGGAACAUACAUGCUCAAAAAUCAAUUUGGACGCACCAGAUGGAACUCCUAGAUGACAUGUGUCAUAAGGAAUCUCACUUCGGUCCGUUUAAAGUCAGUGUUAGUUUCAGUGCAAGAUAGGUGUACGGUUUGCACCUAAUGCACCAUAGGAUAAGAAACCAUUUUUGAUGAUGUGUGUCAUAUGGAAUCUUGCUUCGGUUCGUUUAGAGACAGUGUUAGUUUUAGUAGAAGAUAUGUGCACGGUUUACGCCUAAUGCACCAUAGGCUAAGAAACCAUUUUAGACGCACCCGAUGGUACUCGUAGUUGAAGAGGCUCAAGUGGAGGCUCAAUUUGGUCUGUUCAGAUAUAGUGCUAAUCUUGAUGCAAGAUAGUUGCACAGUUUGCAUGGAACGUACCAUAUGUUAAGAAAUCAAUUUGGACGCAUCCAAUAGAACUCCUAGAUGACGUGUGUCAUAUGGAAUCUCGCUUCGGUCUGUUUGGAGACAAUGUUAGUUUCAGUGUAAGAUAUGUGCAUAGUUUGUGCCUAAUGCACCAUAGUCUAAGAAACCAUUUUUGACACACCUGUUUGUACUCCUAGAUGAAGAGGCUCAAGUGGAAGCUCGGUUCAGUCUGUUUGGAGAUAGUGCUAAUCUUGAUGCAAGAUAGGUGCACGGUUUGCAUGGAACAUACCAUAUGCUUGGAAAUCAAUUUGGAUGCACCCGAUGGAACUCCUUGAUGACGUGUGUCAUAUGGAAUCUCGAUUUGGUCUCUUUAGAAACAGUGUUAGUUUCAGUGCAAGAUAUGUGCAUCGUUUGCGCCUAGUGCACCAUAGUCUAAGAAACCAUUUUGGAAGCACCUAUUGGUACUUCGGUGAAGAGGCUCAAGUGGAAGCUCGGUUUGAUUUGUUUGGAGAUAGUGCUAAUCUUGAUGCAAGAUAGGUGCAUGAUUUGCAAGGAACAUACCAUAUGCUUAGAAAUCAAUUUGGACGCACCCAAUGGAACUCCUAGAUGACGUGUGUCAUAUGGAAUCUUGCUGCGGUCCGUUUGUAGACAUUGUAAGUUUUAGUGCAAGAUAGGUGCACAGUUUGCGCCUAAUGCACUAUAGUCUAAGAAACCAUUUUGGACGCAUAUUUGGUACUCCUGGGUGAAGAGGCUCAAGUGGAAGCUUGGGUCGGUCAGUUUGGAGAUAGUGCUAGUCCUUAUGCUAGAUAGGUGCAUGGUUUGCAUGGAACAUACCAUAUGCUUGGAAAUCAAUUUGGAUGCACCCAAUGGAACUCCUUGAUGACGUGUGUCAUAUGGAAUCUCUCUUCGGUCCAUUUGGAGACACUGUUAGUUUCGGUGCAAGAUAAGUGCACAGUUUGCACCUAAUGCACCAUAGUAUAAGAAACCAUUUUUGAUGCACUUGUUGGUACUCCUAGGUGAAGGGGCUUAAGUGGAUGCUCGGUUUGGUGUGUUUGGAGAUAGUACUAAUCUUGAUGCAAGAUAGGUGCACUGUUUGCGUGGAACAUACCAAAUGCUUGGAAAUCAAUCUGGAUGCACAUGAUGGAACUCCUAGAUGACGUGUGUCAUAUGAAUUCUUGCUUCGGUCUGUUUGGAGACAGUGUUAGUUUCGGUGCAAGAUAGGUGCAAGCUUUGCACCUAAUGAACCAUAGGAUAAGAAACCAUUUUGGAUGCACCCAAUGGUACUCCUGGGUCGAGGGGCUCAAGUGAAAGCUCGGUUUGGUUUGUUUGGAGAUAGUGCUAAUUUUGAUGGAAGAUAGAUGCACAGUUUGCAUGGAACAUACGAAAUGCUCAGAAAUCAAUUAGGACGCACCUUAUAUAACUCCUUGAUGAUGUGUGUCAUAUGGAAUCUUGCUUCAGUUCGUUUAGAGACAGUCUUAGUUUUAGUAGAAGAUAUGUGCACGGUUUAUGCCUAAUGCACCAUAGGCUAUGAAACCAUUUUAGACGCACCCGAUGGUACUCGUAGUUGAAGAGGCUCAAGUGGAGGCUCGAUUUGGUCUGUUUAGAUAUAGUGCUAAUCUUGAUGCAAGAUAGUUGCACAGUUUGCAUGGAAUGUACCAUAUGUUAAUAAAUCAAUUUGGACGCACCCAAUAGAACUCCUAGAUAACGUGUGUCAUAUGGAAUCUCGCUUCGGUCUGUUUGGAGACAAUGUUAGUUUCGGUGUAAGAUAGGUGCAUAGUUUGUGCCUAAUGCACCAUAGUCUAAGAAACUAUUUUUGACACACAUGUUUGUACUCCUAGAUGAAGAGGCUCAAGUGGAAGCUCGGUUCAGUCUGUUUGGAGAUAAUGCUAAUCUUGAUGUAAAAUAGGUGCACGGUUUGCAUGGAACAUACCAUAUGCUUGGAAAUCAAUUUGGAUGCACCCGAUGGAACUCCUUGAUGACGUGUGUCAUAUGGAAUCUCGCUUUGGUCUCUUUAGAAACAGUGUUAGUUUCGGUGCAAGAUAUGUGCAUGGUUUGCGCCUAGUGCACCAUAGUCUAAGAAACCAUUUUGGAAGCUCAUGUUGGUACUUCGGUGAAGAGGCUCAAGUGCAAGCUCGGUUUGAUUUAUUUGGAGAUAGUGCUAAUCUUGAUGCAAGAUAGGUGCAUGAAUUGCAAGGAACAUACCAUAUGCUUAGAAAUCAAUUUGGACGCACCCAAUGGAACUCCAAGAUGACGUGUGUCAUAUGGAAUCUUGCUGCGGUCCGUUUGUAGACAUUGCAAGUUUUAGUGCAAGAGAUAGGUGCACAGUUUGCGCUUAAUGCACCAUAGUCUAAGAAACCAUUUUGGACGCAUAUUUGGUACUCCUGGGUGAAGAGGCUCAAGUGGAAGCUUGGGUCGGUCAGUUUGGAGAUAGUGCUAAUCCUUAUGCAAGGUAGGUGCAUGGUUUGCAUGGAACAUACCAUAUGCCUCGAAAUCAAUUUGGAUGCACCCAAUGGAACUCCUUGAUGACGUGUGUCAUAUGGAAUCUCGCUUCGGUCCAUUUGGAGACACUGUUAGUUUCGGUGCAAGAUAGGUGCACAGUUUGCACCUAAUGCACCAUAGUCUAAGAAACCAUUUUGGACGCAAUUGUUGGUACUCCUAGUGAAGGGGCUCAAGUGGAUGCUCGAUUUGGUGUGUUUGGAGAUAGUACUCAUCUUGAUGCAAGAUAGGUGCACUGUUUGCAUGGAACAUACCAAAUGCUUGGAAAUCAAUCUGGAUGCACAUGAUGGAACUCCUAGAUGACGUGUGUCAUAUGAAAUCUUGCUUCGGUCUGUUUGGAGACAGUGUUAGUUUCGGUGCAAGAUAGGUGCAAGGUUUGCACAUAAUGCAGCAUAGGCUAAGAAAUCAUUUUGGACGGACCCGAUGGUACUCCUAGGUAAAAGGCUCAAGUGAAAGCUCGGUUUGGUCUAUUUGGAGAUAGUGCUAAUCUUGAUGCAAGAUAGGUGCACGGCCUGCAUGGAACGUACCAUAUGCUUAUAAAUUAAUUUGGACACACCCGAUAGAACUCCUUGAUGACGUGUGUCAUAUGGAAUCUUGCUUUGGUGUGCUUAGAGACAGUAUUAGUUUUGGUGCAAGAUAUGUGCACGGUUUGCGCCUAAUGCAUCGAAGUCUAAGAAACCUUUUUGGAAGCACCUUUGAUGCUCCUAGGUGAAGAGGCUCAAGUGGAGGCUCGGUUCGGUCUGUUUAGAGAUAGUGCUAAUCUUGAUGCAAGAUAGGUGCACGAUUUGCAUGGAACAUACCAUAUGCUCAGAAAUAAAUUUAGACGCACCAGAUGGAACUCCUAGAUGACAUGUGUCAUAAGGAAUCUCACUUCGGUCCGUUUAAAGUCAGUGUUAGUUUCAGUGCAAGAUAGGUGUACGGUUUGCACCUAAUGCACCAUAGGAUAAGAAACCAUUUUGGAUGCACCCAAUGGUACUCCUAGGUCGAGGAGCUCAAGUGAAAGCUCGGUUUGGUCUAUUGGAGAUAGUGCUAAUUUUGAUGCAAGAUAGAUGCACAGUUUGCAUGGAACAUAUGAUAUGCUCAGAAAUCAAUUAGGAUGCACCUGAUAUAACUACUUGAUGAUGUGUGUCAUAUGGAAUCUUGCUUCGGUUCGUUUAGAGACAGUGUUAGUUUUAGUAGAAGAUAUGUGCACGGUUUACGCCAAAUGCACCAUAGGCUAAGAAACCAUUUUAGACGCACCCGAUGGUACUCGUAGUUGAAGAGGCUCAAGUGGAGGCUCGAUUUGGUCUAUUCAGAUAUAGUGCUAAUCUUGGUGCAAGAUAGUUGCACAGUUUGCAUGGAACGUACCAUAUGUUAAGAAAUCAAUUUGGACACACCCAAUAGAACUCCUAGAUGACGUGUGUCAUAUGGAAUCUCACUUCGGUCUGUUUGGAGACAAUGUUUGUUUCGGUGUAAGAUAGGUGCAUAGUUUGUGCCUAAUGCACCAUAGUCUAAGAAACCAUUUUUGACACAACUAUUUGUACUCCUAGAUGAAGAGGCUCAAGUGGAAGCUCGGUUCAGUCUGUUUGGAGAUAGUUCUAAUCUUGAUGCAAGAUAGGUGCACGGUUUGCAUGUAACAUACCAUAUGCUUGGAAAUUAAUUUGGAUGCACCCGAUGGAACUCCUUGAUGACGUGUGUCAUAUGGAAUCUCGCUUUGGUCUGUUUAGAAACAAUGUUAGUUUCGGUGCAAGAUAUGUGCAUGGUUUGCGCCUAGUGCACCAUAGUUUAAGAAACCAUUUUGGAAGCACCUGUUGGUACUUCGGUGCAGAGGCUCAAGUGGAAGCUCGGUUUGAUUUGUUUGGAGAUAGUGCUAAUCUUGUUGCAAGAUAGGUGCAUGAAUUGCAAGGAACAUACCAUAUGCUUAGAAAUCAAUUUGGACGCACCCAAUAGAACUCCUAGAUGACGUGUGUCAUAUGGAAUCUUGCUGCGGUCCGUUUGUAGACAUUGUAAGUUUUAAUGCAAGAUAGGUGCAUAGUUUGCGCCUAAUGCACCAUAGUCUAAGAAACCAUUUUGGACGCAUAUUUGGUACUCCUAGGUGAAGAGGCUCAAGUGGAAGCUUGGGUCGGUCAGUUUGGAGAUAGUGCUAAUCCUUAUGCUAGAUAGGCGCAUGGUUUGCAUGGAACAUACCAUAUGCCUCGAAAUCAAUUUGGAUGCACCCAAUGGAACUCCUUGAUUACGUGUGUCAUAUGGAAUCUCGCUUCGGUCCAUUUGGAGACACUGUUAGUUUCGGUGCACGAUAGGUGCACAGUUUGCACCUAAUGCACCAUAGUAUAAGAAACCAUUUUGGACGCAAUUGUUGGUACUCCUAGUGAAGGGGCUCAAGUGGAUGCUCGAUUUGGUGUGUUUGGAGAUAGUACUCAUCUUGAUGCAAGAUAGGUGCACUGUUUGCAUGGAACAUACCAAAUGCUUGGAAAUCAAUCUGGAUGCACAUGAUGGAACUCCUAGAUGACGUGUGUCAUAUGAAAUCUUGCUUCGGUCUGUUUGGAGACAGUGUUAGUUUCGGUGCAAGAUAGGUGCAAGGUUUGCACAUAAUGCAGCAUAGGCUAAGAAACCAUUUUGGACGGACCCGAUGGUACUCCUAGGUAAAAGGCUCAAGUGAAAGCUCGGUUUGGUCUAUUUGGAGAUAGUGCUAAUCUUGAUGCAAGAUAGGUGCACGGCCUGCAUGGAACGUACCAUAUGCUUAUAAAUUAAUUUGGACACACCCGAUAGAACUCCUUGAUGACGUGUGUCAUAUGGAAUCUUGCUUUGGUGUGCUUAGAGACAGUAUUAGUUUUGGUGCAAGAUAUGUGCACGGUUUGCGCCUAAUGCAUCGAAGUCUAAGAAACCUUUUUGGAAGCACCUUUGAUGCUCCUAGGUGAAGAGGCUCAAGUGGAGGCUCGGUUCGGUCUGUUUAGAGAUAGUGCUAAUCUUGAUGCAAGAUAGGUGCACGAUUUGCAUGGAACAUACCAUAUGCUCAGAAAUAAAUUUAGACGCACCAGAUGGAACUCCUAGAUGACAUGUGUCAUAAGGAAUCUCACUUCGGUCCGUUUAAAGUCAGUGUUAGUUUCAGUGCAAGAUAGGUGUACGGUUUGCACCUAAUGCACCAUAGGAUAAGAAACCAUUUUGGAUGCACCCAAUGGUACUCCUAGGUCGAGGGGCUCAAGUGAAAGCUCGGUUUGGUCUAUUGGAGAUAGUGCUAAUUUUGAUGCAAGAUAGAUGCACAGUUUGCAUGGAACAUAUGAUAUGCUCAGAAAUCAAUUAGGAUGCACCUGAUAUAACUCCUUGAUGAUGUGUGUCAUAUGGAAUCUUGCUUCGGUUCGUUUAGAGACAGUGUUAGUUUUAGUAGAAGAUAUGUGCACGGUUUACGCCAAAUGCACCAUAGGCUAAGAAACCAUUUUAGACGCACCCGAUGGUACUCGUAGUUGAAGAGGCUCAAGUGGAGGCUCGAUUUGGUCUAUUCAGAUAUAGUGCUAAUCUUGGUGCAAGAUAGUUGCACAGUUUGCAUGGAACGUACCAUAUGUUAAGAAAUCAAUUUGGACACACCCAAUAGAACUCCUAGAUGACGUGUGUCAUAUGGAAUCUCACUUCGGUCUGUUUGGAGACAAUGUUUGUUUCGGUGUAAGAUAGGUGCAUAGUUUGUGCCUAAUGCACCAUAGUCUAAGAAACCAUUUUUGACACAACUAUUUGUACUCCUAGAUGAAGAGGCUCAAGUGGAAGCUCGGUUCAGUCUGUUUGGAGAUAGUUCUAAUCUUGAUGCAAGAUAGGUGCACGGUUUGCAUGUAACAUACCAUAUGCUUGGAAAUUAAUUUGGAUGCACCCGAUGGAACUCCUUGAUGACGUGUGUCAUAUGGAAUCUCGCUUUGGUCUGUUUAGAAACAAUGUUAGUUUCGGUGCAAGAUAUGUGCAUGGUUUGCGCCUAGUGCACCAUAGUUUAAGAAACCAUUUUGGAAGCACCUGUUGGUACUUCGGUGCAGAGGCUCAAGUGGAAGCUCGGUUUGAUUUGUUUGGAGAUAGUGCUAAUCUUGUUGCAAGAUAGGUGCAUGAAUUGCAAGGAACAUACCAUAUGCUUAGAAAUCAAUUUGGACGCACCCAAUAGAACUCCUAGAUGACGUGUGUCAUAUGGAAUCUUGCUGCGGUCCGUUUGUAGACAUUGUAAGUUUUAAUGCAAGAUAGGUGCAUAGUUUGCGCCUAAUGCACCAUAGUCUAAGAAACCAUUUUGGACGCAUAUUUGGUACUCCUAGGUGAAGAGGCUCAAGUGGAAGCUUCGGUCGGUCAGUUUGGAGAUAGUGCUAAUCCUUAUGCUAGAUAGGCGCAUGGUUUGCAUGGAACAUACCAUAUGCUUGGAAAUCAAUUUGGAUGCACCCAAUGGAACUCCUUGAUUACGUGUGUCAUAUGGAAUCUCUCUUUGGUCCAUUUGGAGACACUGUUAGUUUCGGUGCACGAUAGGUGCACAGUUUGCACCUAAUGCACCAUAGUAUAAGAAACCAUUUUUGACGCACUUGUUGGUACUCCUAGUGAAGUUGCUCAAGUGGAUGCUCGAUUUGGUGUGUUUGGAGAUAGUACUAAUCUUGAUGCAAGAUAGGUGCACUGUUUGCAUGGAACAUACCAAAUGCUUGGAAAUCAAUCUGGAUACACAUGAUGGAACUCCUAGAUGACGUGUGUCAUAUGAAAUCUUGCUUCGGUCUGUUUGGAGACAGUGUUAGUUUCGGUGCAAGAUAGGUGCAAGGUUUGCACAUAAUGCAGCAUAGGCUAAGAAACCAUUUUGGACGGACCCGAUGGAACUCCUAGGUAAAAGGCUAAAGUGAAAGCUCGGUUUGGUCUAUUUGGAGAUAGUGCUAAUCUUGAUGCAAGAUAGAUGCACGGCCUGCAUGGAACGUACCUUAUGCUUAUAAAUUAAUUUGGACACAUCCGAUAGAACUCCUUGAUGACGUGUGUCAUAUGGAAUCUUGCUUUGGUGUGCUUAGAGACAAUAUUAGUUUCGGUGCAAGAUAUGUGCACGGUUUGCGCCUAAUGCACCAAAGUCUAAGAAACCUUUUUGGAAGCACCUGUUGGUACUCCUAGGUAAAGAGGCUCAAGCGGAGGCUCGUUUCGGUCUGUUUAGAGAUAGUGCUAAUCUUGAUGCAAGAUAGGUGCACGAUUUGCAUGGAACAUACCAUAUGCUCAGAAAUCAAUUUGGACGCACCAGAUGGAACUCUUAGAUGACAUGUGUGUCUAAGAAACCAUUUUGGAAGCACCUUUUGGUACUUCGGUGAAGAGGCUCAAGUGGAAGCUCGGUAUGAUCUGUUUGGAGACAGUGCUAAUCUUGAUGCAAGAAAGGCGCAUGAUUUGCAUGGAACAUACCAUAUUCUUAUAAAUCAAUUUGGACGCACCCAAUGGAACUCCUAGAUCACGUGUGUCAUAUGGAAUCUUGCUUCGGUCUGUUUGGAGACAAUGUUAGUUUUGGUGCAAGAUAGGUGCAUAGUUUGUGCCUAAUGCACCACAGUCUAAGAAACCAUUUUUGACGCACCUGUUUGUACUCCUAGAUGAAGAGGCUCAAGUGGAAGCUCGCUUCGGUCUGUUUGGCGAUAGUGCUAAUCUUAAUGCAAGAUAGGUGCACAUUUGCAUGGAAGAUACCAUAUGCUUGGAAAUCAAUUUGGAUGCACCCGAUGGAACUCCUUGAUGACGUGUGUCAUAUGGAAUCUCGCUUUGGUCUAUUUAGAAACAGUGUUAGUUUCGGUGCAAGAUAUGUGCAUGGUUUCCUCCUAAUGCACCAGCGUUUAAGAAACCAUUUUGGAAGCACCUGUAGGUACUUCGGUUAAGAGGCUCAAGUGGAAGCUCCGUUUGAUCUGUUUGAAGAUAGUGCUAAUCUUGAUGCAAGAUAGGUGCAUGUUUUGUAAGGAACAAACCAUAUGCUAAGAAAUCAAUUUGGACGCACCCAAUGGAACUCCUAGAUAAUGUGUGUCAUAUGGAAUCUUGCUUCGGUCCAUUUGUAGACAUUGUAAGUUUUAGUGAAAGAAAAGUGCAUAGUUUGUGCCUAAUGCACCAUAGUUUAAGAAACCAUUUUGGACGCAUAUUUGGUACUCCUGGGUGAAGAGGCUCAAGUGGAAGCUUGGGUCGGUCAGUUUGGAGAUAGUGCUAAUCCUUAUGCAAGGUAGGUGCAUGGUUUGCUUGGAACAUACCAUAUGCCUCGAAAUCAAUUUGGAUGCACCCAAUGGAACUCCUUGAUGACGUGUGUCAUAUGGAAUCUCGCUUCGGUCCAUUUGGAGACACUAUUAGUUUCGGUGCAAGAUAGGUGCACAGUUUGCACCUAAUGCACCAUAGUCUAAGAAACCAUUUUGGACGCAAUUGUUGGUACUCCUAGGUGAACGGGCUCAAGUGGAUGCUCGGUUCAGUCUAUUUCGAGAUAUUGCUAAUCUUGAUGCAAGAUAGGUGCACGGUUUGCAUGGAACAUACCAAAUGCUUAGAAAUCAAGCUGGACGAACAUGAUGGAACUCCUAGAUGACAUGUGUCAUACAAAAUCUUGCUUCGGUCUGUUUGGAGACAGUGUUAGUUUUGGUGCAAGAUAGGUUCAAGGUUUGCACAUAAUGCAGCAUAAGCUAAGAAACCAUUUUGGACGCACCCGAUGGUACUCCUACGUAAAAGCCUCAAAUGAAAGAUCGAUUUGGUCUAUUUGGAGAUAGUGCUAAUCCUGAUGCAAGAUAGAUGCACGGUCUGCAUGGAACGUAUCAUAUGCUUAGAAAUUAAUUUGGACACACCCGAUAGAACUCCUUGAUGACGUGUGUCAUAUGGGAUCUCGCUUUGGUGUGCUUAGAGACAGUAUUAGUUUCAGUGCAAGAUAUGUGCACGGUUUGCGCCUAAUGCACCAAAGUCUAAGAAACCAUUUUGGUAGCACCUGUUGGUACUCCUAGGUUAAGAGGCUCAAGUGGAGGCUCGGUUCGGUCUGUUUAGUUAUAGUGCUAAUCUUGAUGCAAGAUUGGUGCACAAUUUGCAUGGAACAUACCAUAUGCUUAGAAAUCAAUUUGGACGCACCAGAUGGAACUACUAGAUGACAUGUGUCAUAUGGAAUCUCACUUCGAUCCGUUUAGAGACAAUGUUAGUUUUAGUGCAAGAUAGGUGCACGGUUCGCACCUAAUGCACCAUAAGAUAAGAAACCAUUUUGGACAGACCCGAUGGUACUCCUAGGUCAAGGGGCUCAAGUGAAAGCUCGAUUUGGUCUGUUUGGAGAUAGUGCUAAUCUUGAUGCAAGAUAGAUGCACGGUUUGCAUGGAACAUCCGAUAUGCUCAGAAAUCAAUUAGGACGCACCUGAUAUAACUCCUUGAUGAUGUCUGUCAUAUGGAAUCUUGCUUCGGUUCGCUUAGAGACAGACUUAGUUUUGGUAGAAGAUAUGUGCACGGUUUACGCCUAAUGCACCAUAAGCUAAGAAACCAUUUUAGACGCACCCGAUGGUACUCGUAGUUAAAGAGGCUCAAGUGGAGGCUCGAUUUGGUCUAUUUAGAUAUAGUGCUAAUCUUGAUGCAAGAUAGUUGCACAGUUUGCAUGGAACGUACCAUAUGUUAAGAAAUCAAUUUGGAUGCACCCAAUGGAACUCCUAGAUGACGUGUGUCAUAUGGUAUCUCACUUCGGUAUGUUUGGAGACAAUGUUGGUUUCGAUGCAAGAUAGGUGCAUAGUUUGUGCCUAAUGCACCAUAGUCUAAGAAACCAUUUUUGACGCACCUGUUUGUUCUCCUAGAUGAAGAGGCUCAAGUGGAAGCUCGGUUCGGUCUGUUUGGAGAUAGUGCUAAUCUUGAUGCAAGAAAGGUGCAUGGUUUGCACGGAACAUACAAUAUGCUUGGAAAUCAAUUUGGAUGCACCCGAUGGAACUCCUUGAUGACGUGUGUCGUAUGGAAUCUCGCUUUGGUCUAUUUAGAAACAGUGUUAGUUUCGGUGCAAGAUAUGUGCAUGGUUUGAGCCUAAUGCACCAAGUCUAAGAAACCAUUUUGGAAGCACCUGUUGGUACUUCGGUGAAGAGGCUCAAGUGGAAGCUCGGUUUGAUCUGUUUGGAGAUAGUGCUAAUCUUGAUGCAAGAUAGGUGCAUGAUUUGCAAGGAACAUACCAUAUGCUUAGAAAUCAAUUUGGACGCACCCAAUGGAACUCCUAGAUGACAUGUGUCAUAUGGAAUCUCGCUUCGGUCUGUUUGGAGACAAUGUUAGUUUUGGUGCAAGAUAGGUGCAUAGUUUGUGCCUAAUGCACCAGAAACCAUUUUUGACGCACCUGUUUGUACUCCAAGGUCAAGGGGCUCAAGUGGAAGUUUGGUUCGGUCUGUUUGGAGAUAGUGCUAAUCUUGAUGCAAUAUAGGUGUAUGGUUUGCAUGAAACAUACCAUAUGCUUGGAAAUCAAUUUGGAUGCACCCGAUGGAACUCCUUGAUGACGUGUGUCAUAUGAAAUCUCACUUUGGUCUAUUUAGAAACAAUGUUAGUUUCGGUGCAAGACAUGUGCAUGGUUUGCGUCUAAUGCACCAUAGUCUAAGAAACCAUUUUGGAAGCACCUGUUGGAACUUCAGUGAAGAGGCUCAAGUGGAAGCUCGGUUUGAUUUGUUUGGAGAUAGUGCUAAUCUUGAUGCAAGAUAGGUGCAUGAUUUGCAAGGAACAUACCAUAUGCUUAGAAAUCAAUUUGGACGCACCCAAUGGAACUCCUAGAUGACGUGUGUCAUAUGGAAUCUUGCUUUGGUCUGUUUGUAGACAUUGUAAGUUUUAGUGCAAGAUAGGUGCACAGUUUGCGCCUAAUGCACUAUAGUCUAAGAAACCAUUUUGGAUGCAUUAUUUGGUACUCCUUGGUCUGUUUAGAAACAGUGUUAGUUUCGGUGCAAGAUAUGUGCAUGGUUUGCGCCUAAUACACCAUAGUCUAAGAAACCAUUUUGGAAGCACCCGAUGGUACUCCUAGGUAAAAGGCUCAAGUGAAAGCUCGGUUUGUUCUAUUUGGAGAUAGUGCUAAUCUUGAUGCAAGAUAGAUGCACGGUCUGCAUCGAACGUACCAUAUGCUUAGAAAUUAAUUUCGACACACCCUAUAGAACUCCUUGAUGAUGUGUGUCAUAUGGAAUCUCGCUUUGGUGCGCAUAGAGACAGUAUUAGUUUCGGUGCAAUAUAUGUGCACGGUUUGCACCUAAUGCACCACAGUCUAAGAAACCAUUUUGGAAGCACCUGUUGGUACUCCUAGGUGAAGAGGCUCAAGUGGAGACUCGGUUCGAUCUAUUUAGAGAUAGUGCUAAUCUUGAUUCAAGAUAGGUGCACGAUCUGCAUGGAACAUACCAUAGGCUCAGAAAUCAAUUUGGACACACCAGAUGGAACUCCUAGAUGACAGGUGUCAUAUGUAAUUUCACUUCGGUCCGUUUAGAGAUAAUGUUAGUUUCGGUGCAAGACAGGUGCACGGUUUGCACCUAAUGCACCAUAAGAUAAGAAACCAUUUUGGAUGCACCCGAUGGUACUCCUAGGUCAAGGGGCUCAAGUGAAAGAUCGGUUUGGUCUGUUUGGAGAUAGUACUAAUCUUGAUGCAAGAUAGAUGUACGGUUUGCAUGGAUCAUACGAUAUGCUCAGAAAUCAAUUAGGACGCACCUGAUAUAACUCCUUGAUGAUGUGUGUCAUAUGGAAUCUUGUUUCGGUUCGUUUAGAGACUGUUAGUUUUCGUAGAAGUUAUGUGCACGGUUUACGCCCAAUGCACCAUAGGCUAAGAAACCAGAAACCAUUUUAGACGCACCCAGUGGUACUCGUAGUUGAAGAGGCUCAAGUGGAGGCUCGAUUUGGUCUGUUCGGAUAUAGUGCUAAUCUUGACGCAAGAUAGUUGCACAGUUUGCAUGGAACGUACCAUAUGUUAAGAAAUCAAUUUGGACGCACCCAAUGGAACUCCUAGAUGACGUGUGUCAUAUGGAAUCUCGCUUUGGUUUGUUUGGAGACAAUGUUAGUUUCGGUGCAAGAUAGGUGCAUAGUUUGUGCCUAAUGCACCAUAGUCUAAGAAACCAUUUUUGACGCACCUGUUUGUACUCCUAGAUGAGGAAGCUCAUGUGGAAGCUCGGUUCAGUCUGUUUGGAGAUUGUGCUAAUCUUGAUGCAAGAUAGGUGCACGGUUUGCAUGGAACAUACCAUAUGCUCAGAAAUCAAUUUUGACGCACUAGAUGGAACUACUAGAUGACAUGUGUCAUAUGGAAUCUCACUUCGGUCCGUUUAGAGAUAGUUUUAGUUUCGGUGCAAGAUAGGUGCACGGUUUGCACCUAAUGCACCAUAGGAUAAGAAACUAUUUUGGACGCACCCGAUGGUACUCCUAGGUCAAUGGGCUCAAGUGAAAGCUUGGUUUGGUCAGUUUGGAGAUAGUGCUAAUCUUGAUGCAAGAUAGAUGCACGGUUUGCAUGAAACAUACGAUAUGCUCAUGUGUGUCAUAUGGAAUCUCGCUUUAGUCUGUUUAGAGACAGUGUUAGUUUUGGUGGAUGAUAUGUGCACGGUUUGUGCCUAAUGCAGCAAAGGCUAAGAAACCAUUUUCGACGCACCCGAUGGUACUCCUAGUUGAAGAGGCUCAAGUGUAAGCAUGGUUUGGUCUGUUCCGAGAUAGUGCCAAUCUUGAUGCAAGAUAGUUGCACGGUUUGCAUGGAACGUACCAUAUGCUCAGAAAUCAAUUUGGACGCACGCAAUGGAACUCCUAGACGACGUUUGUCAUAUGGAAUCUCGCUUCGGUCUGUUUGGAGACAAUGUUAGUUACAGUGCAAGAUAGGUGCACAGUUUGUGCCUAAUGCACCAUAGUCUAAAACCAUUUUGACGCACCUGUUUGUACUCCUAGAUGAAGAGGCUCAAGUGGAAGUUCGGUUCGGUCUAUUUGGAGACAGUGCUAAUCUUGAUGUAGGAUGGGUGCACGGUUUGCAUGGAACAUACCAUAUGCUAAGAAACCAUUUUGGACGCACCCGAUGGUACUCCUAGGUCAGGGGCUCAAGUGAAAGCUCGGUUUGGUCUGUUUGGAGAUAGUGCUAAUCUUGAUGCAAGAUAGAUGCAUGGUUUGCACGAAACAUACGAUAUGCUCAUAUAACUCCUUGAUGACGUGUGUCGUAUGGAAUCUCGCUUCGGUUCGUUUAGAGAUAGUGUUAGUUUUGGUGGAUGAUAUGUGCACGGUUUGCACCUAAUGCACCAUAGGCUAAGAAACCAUUUUAGACGCACCGAUGGUACUCCUAGUUGAAGAGGCUCAAGUGGAAGCUCGGUUUGGUCUGUUCGGAGAUAGUGCUCAUCUUGUUGCAAGAUAGUUGCACGGUUUGCAUGGAACAUACCAUAUGCUCAGAAAUCAAUUUGGACGCACCAAAUGGAACCCCUAGAUGACGUGUGUCAUAUGGAAUCUCACUUCGGUCUGUUUGGAGACAAUGUUAGUUUCAAUGCAGGAUAGGUGCCCAGAUUGUGCCUAAUGCACCAUAGUCUACGAAACCAUUUUUGACGCACCUGUUUGUACUCCUAGAUGAAGAAGCUCAAGUGGAAGCUCGGUUCGGUCUGUUUGGAGAUAGUGCUAAUUUUGAUGCAAGAUAGGUGCAUGGUUUGCAUGGAACGUACCAUGUGCUUAGAAUCACUUUGGAUGCACCAGAUGGAACUCCUAGAUGACGUGUGUCAUAUGGAAUCUCGCUUUGGUUCGUUUGGAGACAAUGUUAGUUUCAGUGCAAGAUAGGUGCACAGUAUGUACCUAAUGCACCGUAGUCUAAGAAACCAAUUUGGACGCACCUGUUUGUACUCCUAGUUAAAGAGGCUCAACUGGAAGCUUGGUUUGGUCUAUUUGGAGAUAGUGCUAAAAUUGAUGCAAGAUAGGUCCACGGUUUGCAAGGAACAUACCAUAUGCUCAAAAUUCAAUUUGGACGCACCCAAUGGAACGCCUAGAUGACGUGUCAUAUGGAAUCUUGCUUCAGUCUGUUUUGAGACAUUGUUAGUUUCAAUGCAAGAUAGGUGCACAGUUUGCGCCUAAUGCACCAUAGUCUAAGAAACCAUUUUGGACGCACCUGUUGGUACUCCUUGGUGAAGAGGCUCAAGUGGAAGCUCAGUUCGAUCUGUUUGGAGAUAGAGCUAAUCUUGAUGCAAGAUAGUUGCACUGUUUGCAUGGAACAUACCAAAUGCUUGGAAAUUAGUUUGGACGCACCUAAUGGGACUCCUAGAUGACGUUUGUCAUAUUGAAUCUCGCUUUGGUUUGUUUAGAGAGAGUGUUAGUUUUGGUGCAAGAUAGGUGUACGGUUUACACCUAAUGCACCACAGGCUAAGAAACAAUUUUGGACGCACCUGAUGGUACUCUUAGGUAAAGGGCUCAAGUAAAAGCUUGGUUUGGUCUAUUUUGAGAUAGUGCUAAUCUUGAUGCAAGAUAGAUUCACGGUUUGCAUGGAACAGACCAUAUACUCAGAAAUCAAUUUGGGUGCACCCGAUGGAACUCCUCGAUGAUGUGUGUCAUAUGGAAUCUCGCUUCGGUCUGUUUAGAGAUAGUGUUAGUUUCGAUGCAAGAUAUGUGCACGGUAUGCGCCUAAUGCAACAUGGUCUAAGAAACCAUUUUGGACGAACCUGUUGGAACUUCUGGGUGAAUAGGCUCAGGUGGAAGCUCGGUUCAAUCUGUUUGGAGAUAGUGCUAAUAUUUAUGCAAGAUAGGUGAUGGGUUUGCAUGGAACAUACAAUAUUCUUUGAAAUCAAUUUGGACACACCUGAUGGAACUCCUUGAUGACGUGUGUCAUAUGGAAUCUCACUUUGGUCCGUUUAGAGAAGUGUUAGUUUCGGUGCAAUAUAUGUGCAUGGUUUGGGCCUAAUGCAUCAUAGGCUAAGAAACCAUUUUAGACGCACCCGAUGGUACUCAUAGGUGAAGAGGCUCGUGUGGAAGUUCGGUUGGGUCUGUUCGGAGAUAGUGCUAAUCUUGAUGCAAGAUAGUUGCACGGUUUGCAUGGAACAUACCAUAUGCUUGGAAAUCAAUUUGAACGCACCCGAUGGAACUCCUUGAUGACGUAUGUCAUAUUGAAUCUCGCUUCGGUUCAUUUGGAGAUAGUGUUUGUUGCCGUGCAAGAUAGGUGCACAGUUUGAAACUAAUGCACCAUAGUUUAAGAAACCAUUUUGGAUGCACCUGUUCAUACACCUGGGUGAACAGGCUCAAGUGGAAGCUUAGUUCGAUCUAUUUGGACACAGUGCUAAUCUUGAUGCAAGAUAAGUAAACGGUUUGCAUGAAACAUACCAUAUGCUUGGAAAUCAAUUUGGAUGCACCCAAUGGAACUCCUAGAUGACGUGUGUCAUAUGGAAUCUCGCUUUAGUCUAUUUGGAGAUAGUGUUAGUUUCGGUGCAAGAUAGGUGCACGGUUUGCACCUAAUGCAGCAUAGGCUACGAAACCAUUUUGGAUGCACCCGAUGGUACUCAUAGGUAAGGGAGCUCAAGUGAAAGCUCGAUUUGGUCUGUUCGGAGAUAGUGCUAAUCUUGAUGCAAGAUAGUUGCAUAGUUUGCAUGGAACGUACCAUAUGCUUAGAAUCAAUUUGGAUGCACCCGAUGGAACUCCUAGAUGACGUGUGUCAUAUGGAAUCUCGCUUCGGUUCGUUUGGAGACAAUGUUAGUUUCAGUGCAAGAUAGGUGCACAGUAUGUACCUAAUCCACCAUAGUCUAAGAAACCAUUUUGGACGCACCUGUUUGUACUCCUAGAUAAAGAGGCUCAAGUGGAAGCUCGGUUCGGUCUGUUUGGAGAUUGUGCUAAAAUUGAUGCAAGAUAGGUCCACGGUUUGCAAGGAACAUACCAUAUGCUCAAAAAUCAAUUUGGACGCACCCAAUGGAACUCCUUGAUGACGUGUGUCAAAUGUAAUCUCGCUUCAGUCUAUUUAGAGACAUUGUUAGUUUCAAUGCAAGAUAGGUGCACAGUUUGCUCCUAAUGCACCAUAGUCUAAGAAACCAUUUUGGACGCACCUGUUGGUACUCCUGGGUGAAGAGGCUCAAGUGGAAGCUCAGUUCUGUCUGUUUGGAGAUAGAGCUAAUCUUGAUGCAACAUAGUUGCACAGUUUGCAUGGAACAUACCAAAUGCUUAGAAAUUAGUUUGGACGCACCUAAUGGGACUCCUAGAUGACGUGUGUCAUAUGGAAUCUCGCUUCGGUCUGUUUAGAGAGAGUGUUAGUUUCGGUGCAAGAUAGGUGUACGGUUUGCACCUAAUGCACCAUAGGCUAAGAAAAAUUUUGGACGCACCUGAUGGUACUAUUAGGUAAAGGGCUCAAGUAAAAGCUUGGUUUGGUCUGUUUUGAGAUAGUGCUAAUCUUGAUGCAAGAUAGAUUCACGGUUUGCAUGGAAAGGACCAUAUGCUCAGAAAUCAAUUUGGAUGCAUCCGAUAGAACUCCUCGAUGAUGUGUCAUAUGGAAUCUCGCUUCGGUCUAUUUAGAGACAGUGUUAGUUUCAAUGCAAGAUAUGUGCACGGUUUGCGCCUAAUGCAACAUAGUCUAAGAAACCAUUUUGGAUGCACCUGUUGGUACUACUGGGUGAAUAGGCUCAAGUGGAAGCUCGGUUCGAUCAGUUUAGAGAUAGUGCUAAUCUUUAUGCAAGAUAGGUGAUGGGUUUGCAUGGAACAUACAAUAUUCUUUGAAAUCAAUUUGGACACACCCGAUGGAACUCCUUUAUGACAUGUGUCAUAUGGAAUCUCGCUUCGGUCCGUUUAGAGAUAGUGUUAGUUUCGGUGCAAGAUAUGUACACGAUUUGCGCCUAAUGCACCAUAGGCUAAGAAACCAUUUUAGACGCACCCGAUGGUACUCAUAGGUGAAGAGGCUCAAGUGGAAGUUCGGUUGGGUCUGUUCAGAGAUAGUGCUAAUCUUGAUGCAAGAUAUGUCGGUGUUUUGACCCCGGGGGGUAACACCAACGUGUGAAUUUGUGUGCGUGUUCCCUCUCCCAAAUGGUGAUGCAAGAAUGACACAGAGAUUUAUCCUGGUUCGGGCAAGAGAAGGCCCUACGUCCAGCGGGGGAGGAGAUCUUCUAUUAUCUUGCACCUAAGUGCUUGUACAGGGGUGAAUACAGGCGAAUGUUGCUAAGGAUUCUAUGUCCUAGAUGGUAGUGAUGUAUGGAAGGUUGUUCUACGUGUGUCUCUCUCCCUGUAUCACUUCCUCGGUGUCCCCUUUUAUAGUUCCAAGGGGAGACCCAGGUUACAAGUUGUAGGCAAUAGAGUAAGGCUCGAUAGGGGCAUGGCGCGCUGAUCUACUCGAGGCCUCCGUACCGGCGUGGCUUCGAGCCGUCUUGUUACUGGGUACUUUGGUGAUGAUUGCGCGUGCUUCUAGGUUUGGCUCCUGUACAUCGUCUCGGAUUGGCUUAGGUGCGAGAGUGCCUGUACAUCGUGGCAGUGGUAAGAGUGGUUGAAGCGCUGACUUUCAUUGCCUGACCCUUCCCUGGGAAGGAACGUAUUCACUCGAGGGUCUGGUACAGCGGAUGGCGUCGUUGAGCGAUGCGCUGACUCUGGGUGCCUCGAGGGAUGCCGUGAUGUGACAUCUCAGCUGUCACACUGUGCUGGGUUGUACUCUCGUUUAUUUGGGGGAUAAAGCUACGAAAAGUGGGGAUUGGACGGAUGCUUGUUCCCUAUCACGUUUCCGUGACUGUCGGGUUAUGUGAGAGCGUGCCAGGUGCAUUAAAUGCCCUGCCUCCCAUACCCGCGACAGGCGGCGGACAGCGCCUUUACGCUCGAGGCCUGUCGAUUCGCCUGAGCCACUUCCGUAUUCGACGAUCGUCAUUUAAUCGAGCCUCUGUCGAUUCGCACGACCUUGUUUCCGUGUUCGAGGCUAUAGUCGACAUCGAGCUUUAUUGAUUAUGUGUGUAAGCAGGGGCGUCGAGUUAGGUCCUCGACUUAUGUGUGGAUCCUUUUGUUAUGAGCGUUCGUUAGGGUACCCCUUACUGACACCCUCGACAGUAGCCCCUGAGUCUCUGCUCAAGCGCUUGCGCUCGAGUAGAGGCUCUUUUGUCGGUCGGGUUUCCAUGGGGGUCACACGCGCGACCCCCGCGGGGGUAGCCCCCGAGCCCUUGGGGGGUCUUUGACUCCAUCGAGGGCUAUACUGCUUUUUCUAAUGGGAUUGCUUCUGAUUUCCCCUUUCUCCAAAAGUCGUCUGAUCUUGAAGCGGGGCUUUGGGCCCUUGCUGGCCGGUUUUGCCUUUUCGAGGCUGGGGUCGUGACAUACUCCCAGUGGAGUGAGCGUCACCACCCCAGGAUGAGUUCCUAUCGGGUAAUCCAAGUGAGAACCCGUGCCCCGUUCGGGAGGGUCGGCUACAGCCCGGAGGCAUUCUCAUCAAAGCAGGGCUAAUGCGGUCGAGGUUACUGGUCUCAUUCGACAGAGUCCAGCGGCUCGAUGCCUCCCUCCGUGGGGAUUCGUCUCGACCCUCCUGCCCUUGCCUUGGAUAUCCCCAGUGAGUUUUCGAGGCAGGCCUCGUUUUCGACCCCUCACCGGGCAUCCCUGACUCUGGUACUCAAGGGCGACCGUCGAGCCCGUCUAGCGUGCCGGUCUGCGCUCCCUCGAGGUUUUCAUUGUGGUGCGCGCCUACUUUAUGUUGUAGGGGAAGAGCCGUGGCGGUUUGUUUCCUUGCCCGUUGGGCGCGCCUUUUUAGGAGGGAGACGUUGUAGCACUGUGCCGUUGUGGAAUCCAUAGCGUCCUGUCAGGAGGAGCAAUAAGACCGUUAGGCGGCGCAUUUACUAGGGAGGUUACCGUAUUCGUCGGAUCCACUGGUUAGAGUUGGGCAUCUAUAAAUAUCGCUGGAUCCCUUGGCUGCUACCCCUUUUGCUUUCCACCAUUGCUCCCGCCUUCACUCUCCUCACCCUCUUGACUCGCAACGCACCCUCGAGCACGCAACAGCAGAGCCGCCUUUCUCCUUCCGCCAUGAUGCCGGUGAAACUUGUCGCCCUUGACGAUUGGCGCCCGUCGUCCAUGACGGACCGUCGGUUGAUGGAUCUCGAGAAGGAGGGACUCCUGCGCCCCCGUACUUCUUCAUCGCGGCCAGAGUGGAUUGCGCCGGCGGUGGACCACCGGGAGCCGAGACCACCUAAAGGGUACGUGGUCUCCUUCGCCAAAUUUCAUCGCCAUGGCCUCAGCUCUCCCCCAAGCCGCUUCAUGCGGGUGCUCUGCCACCACUACGGUGUGGAGCUCCAGCACUUCACGCCGAACGCCAUCACCGCGCGGUGAUUUUUGCCGUGGUGUGUGAAGCCUACUUGGGAUGAUGCCGCACUAGGACUUGUGGCUCCGUCUUUACCGAGGCGAGCUCUUCCGCGCCCCUAGUGCAGCCACAGGGGUGAGGAAGCCAGUGCGGGCCGGCUGCCUUAACCUAGUGCAGAAGACAGGCCAGGCGGAGGAGCCUCGAGAGUACAUCCCGAUUGGGCUGACGUCGAACCACACCCAAUGGAAUUCCCAAUGGUUCUACCUUCGUAACGACGAUGACCUCUUCCCUGCCUACACCGGGCGCUUGAUUUCGGAGCACCCGAAGAACUGGAACUACGAUGUCGUCAAGACCCUUCAGUCGCGGCUCCGCCCCAUCCUCGACGCCAUGAAGAUGCUGCACGAGAAAGGUCUGACUGCUGCGCUCGUUCUCUCGACGGUCCACCAUCGACGGGUACUCCCGUUGAUGAGAAUGGACGAGAUGGGUCUCGGCGUCUCGUCUCGCGACCUCGAGGCAUGCCGGAUGUCCAACGAGGCGCUUGCGGACAAGGAGGUUGCCGCCAGGGUCAGGGCGGCUGUUGCCGGCGAUUUUCAGCCCAAGCAUGUCAACAGCUUCCCCAUGAAGCUCGAGGAGGGCACUGCGUCCUGGUGAGUUCUUCUUAUCGCUGUGAUGAGGACAUCAACACCAGCGAUACAUCCUCUCCUACAUCCUCUCCGACACAAGAGCUGGUCCUACAUCCUCUCCGACACAACCCAUAGCUGGUCCUACAUCCUCUCCGACACAACCUAUAGCUGGUCCUCUUACUCGUGCUCGUGUUCGUCAACUCAACCUUCAAGUAAGUUCAGUUUUAAACUCUUGUCAAUCAUAUUUAGACAAUGGAGACACGUGCACUUUCGUGUUGCUCAGGAAUAAUGGACAAGAUCAGCAAGGGAAGGUUCAACUGCAUUCAGAAUUUGAGGCAACACCAACUUCAAGGGUUGAUUGCAUAUGGGAAGAGUGAUAACUUAACAAAGGUGAUUGGAGAUCAGGUCCAAGCCUCCACAACAUCCUCUAUCAAGUUACCACGUCGCUUCUAAAGCAAGGAAACAAAGAGUCCAAACCCAACACGUUUUGGGAGUUGGAUUCGGACUGGAAAAUAACUCUAACUUGUAUGGAUCACCACGGCGUCAUAUGGACUCCAACUGGGACGUUCCUAUACUUGUUGGAAAGCUCAUGAAGUCUACUUUCCAAUGGGUCCAACCACAUAUCUAUGCAGCUUAUGAGUCGGGCGCAGUCCUUGUUUUCGUGCCGACACCUUUUUCUGUUUUGGUGCUGCGUCACCCUAUUUUGGACCAAUGGCCCAUGUAUCAAGUUGAGUCUAUUAGGGACGUGUCCUAGGGUUGGAGGACGACUCUCGCACCCCUUUGGUCGUCCUCCCCUCUAUUUAUUUACAUCUAGAGCCGCCAUGAACAACUGGGUUUUGUUUAGAUCAAGUUUAGCCUUCGCUACUUGCUUGUUGUAAUACCCGAUUUCAAGGACAAAACCAGAUAUGCACCAUAUGUGAGUCAUAGAAGUCAAAUCUCACAUAUAGCUAUAAAUAAGGGGUAAUAUCAAAAGACAAUGCAUAAAUAUAUAACGUACUUAAUAUAAAAGAGAUAACCUUGAUAGCAAACAGCGGAUAGACAACUCCGAACUUCGGGUAUUAACUUCUCUCUACAGGAUCCAACUGACUGGUUGAUCACAAGCCUAAACUUCUCCUGAGGUUUGAGGGAAAGAGCAAGAGUGAGUCCAUGUCAAACUCCACAAGUAUAGCAACUAGAUUGUAUAGCUCCCACAAUCUCAUGAUCAAUGUGACAUAAAUAAUGUAAAGCAUUAAACAAUAAACAAUGAGCAUAUUUAACACACAAGAUUCAUCACCCUUAAUGUAGAUGUCCCCAAGGCCGCUCCUGACCGUGAGCUCGGCUAGUAUACUAGUUUUAACACUCUGCAGAGGUUGUACAUCUUUACCCAUGAGUCAUGAUUUACCCUUUCGCCCGAGGUGAUCAGCCUCUUAACCCAAUACCAAGGAAGGUCGGCAGGGAUCACUAUGAAGCCUUUCAAAAGUUUGUCUAACAUGUUAGGGCCGCAAGGUUUCCUUUGCGCGCAGAUAUAGAUACCCCCCUUCCAAAUGGCACAAUGAUGCGCAGCCUAUACACAUAAGGACAGGGGCUCGCACUAUACCCAAAACGGUUCAGCCCCUCCGCCCUUUCGGGUAACCUCUAACAAGCUAGAAAAGGUCUUCAUACUGAGCUAAAGCCAGAGCCAUUAUAGCCCUCAUGGUUGCACUGUUGUCCCGGGUGAUCACGUACAGAUAAAUCAUCAAGUGGCUAAAAAGUCAUUUUUAUCAUUUAUUACUUAACAUUAAUCUAGUCACAGGAUCAUGGUCACAGAAAUAAAAUCCAAAUGCUAUACUUGCGGAGUUCGACAUGGACUCACUCUUGCUCUUUCCCCCAAACCACAGGAGAAGUUUAGGCUUGUGAUCAACCAGUCAGUUGGAUCCUGUAGAGAGAAGUUAAUACCCGAAGUUCGGAGUUGUCUAUCCGUUGUUUGCUAUCAAGGUUAUCUCUUUUAUAUUUAGUACAUUAUAUAUUUAUGCAUUGUCUUUUGAUAUUACCCCUUAUUUGUAGCUGUAUGUGAGAUUUGACUUCUAUGACUCACAUAUGGUGCAUAUCUGGUUUUGUCCUUGAAAUCGGGUAUUACACUUGUAGGCGCGCGUGCAGGAUCAGCCGCCCGUCUCCUUGUCUUCGGAACCCCAUUAUUGAUUAAGAUUCAGUUUGAAACCUUCAAUUCAUCUUGCAAAUUCAGUGCUUGUUUCCUCGUUCUUGCUAGUUCUUCGAUUGCUUGCAGGACGGGAGCCCUAGGGGCUGGUUGUCGCGCUCCCCAAGAUCGUGACGGCUACUGGACGUGGUGUAUCGGUUGCUAAGGCGCGGUCUUGAGGGCUGUAGUCGGGCCGUGAACGUCAUCUCCAUCCACCCCGUCUCUCAUCAAAAGAUCGGGCAAAAACCCUAGCGGGUUCGCAUCAGUUGGUAAUCAGAGCAAGGUUCUUCGGUGAGAGACUUCUAAUCCUUUGCUGUUUUUAAUUAAUUUCCUAUAGUCCAGAAAAGCCAAAAAAAAUAUAGUAGAUUAGUUUUUCCAUAAUCCUAUUAAACCUUUGUGCCUUGGCUAGUACCGUUUUAGUUAGGGCUUGUUGAAUUUGCGUUGCUUCGGUUUGUGUCGAGUUGCUGGUCUUAGUGUCUAGUCCUUUAGAGUUUCGAGUUCUUGUCACCAUCUAUACACAACCGAGUAUUACCAUAUCUUCUCUCUGUCGAAUCUGUUGCAAAGUCCGAAUUGAACUGUGGUCUUGGUCCGGAUCGAGUAGAGUUCCAAUCUGAGUUCAAAAAGAAAGAUAACUCCAUACUUGUUCGGCCUUACUCUAGAGAGAGAGAGUGUGUGUAGCGAAUUGCUCUUUUGUAUUCUUUUGUUCAUAUAAACAGUUUUUGAGGUUGCCCAAAAAAAAAGAAAAAAAAAGAAAAGAGAAAAGAUUCAAAAGAAAAAAAAAAGGGCUGUUUUUCAUAUUGACUUUAGGUUUGUUCCACCUUGUUUUCGGGGGUGUGCUGUGGUUUUCCUUUGUGUCCAGGCUCGCGUCUCUAGCACGGUCUAGCCUAGGACCAGCACAGUACCAUCGUCGAACGCUUAUUCAGCUCGCUUUUAUAACUAACGUGGUGCUAGUUCGUUCCUUGUUUCAGCCCACCUAUAGCUCCACAUACUCUACAGCUUGACAGGUCUUGUGCUGCAGCACCGGUACACUUCGUCCAUUGCUGUACACUUG
Molecule: long non-coding RNA, 67769 nt
Filed under: Sorghum bicolor (sorghum)
Lineage: Eukaryota; Viridiplantae; Streptophyta; Magnoliopsida; Poales; Poaceae
Description: long non-coding RNA (SBIC_LNC008931)
Source: RNAcentral